GGGAGGCCACCUUUCCCUCUUAAUGAUUGUCUCGAGGGAGACUAUUUUCUCUUCUAGCUCCCUUCGGGUUACCUUUUUCUCUGGUUUGGCCGUAAUUGGCCGUUCUAUUUUCGACUUCAACUAAGGAAUGGGCGCCAAACCACCUGCUUCAUGAUCAUUCCGCAUUGGAAGAAAAGGGCGUGGUUGUUCAUUGGGUCGUCUCCACAAAUUCAGCUUCAUCCCUUUCGCCUCCUCAUAGUGUUGUUUUGCUUCGGUUUGCAACCUUUGCUGCCGAUGCUUCUGCGUUUUUGUCAACAUCGGCCCUUGCCACUUGGCCGAUGGUUUAGCCUCAUGCCAUUGAUCAACCGGCACAUUUGCUGGUACUUUCACUGUUCUCAAAUGAUUCUUUAAAAUUUCUCUUCUUUCCAAGGAUCUUGGCCACGGUUGAAUGCCGAGCUCAUUAACCAAUCUUCGACCAAGGAACUCUAUGUCUCCCUCAGUCAUCCCUUCGAACUCCGGUUCUGGUCUCGGCCUGGCUGGAUGCUGCCAGUGUGGCCGAUACCCAAGGAAUCUCUGUUUCGAGCCGAAUGGUUUAUCUGGAUAACUCCAUCGACUAUUAUGUUCUUCUUUUCUGCUGUUAUAAUAGUCAUGCUGGACUUUCUGAAUUAACAAGUCCUUCUUGUUUUGAACCGAAUCGACCUCCGGCUCAGACUCGUUGGAGGCUUCGUCUGAGCUAUCCUCUGACUUGUCAUCUCCUUCGGGAAUUUCUUCCCAUUCUUCAGGAAAUGCCAUCAACUCUCUCCAUUCAUUGCUUCUUUUCUUUUCGUUGAUUAUGACUUCCCAAUCUUUCUUUGUCAUUUCGACUUUGCACCUUAUGUAGAGCCGAAGAGUUCUCUUGACAUAGAUGACGUGUUCAGCGGUCUUCUUGUCCGCGACUGCCUUUCUCUUGACAUCCACCAUAUUGACCUGCGACGGAAAUGAAUUUUUGUAAAUUUCUAUAUUUUUAUUUUCUUGAUCAGCAAAUAUGAGCCGACCCUCAUUUAUUUCUUUUUGAAUUUGCCUCUUAAAGGCAGUACACUCAUUCGUCUUAUGGCUCCAUAAAUGAUGCCAUUUAUAAUAUUUUCUUCUUCUUAAUUCUUCCAUAGGGGGUAUGGUUUGACCCUCCCGUAACUGAAUUCGUCCAUUUUUCAAUAACCGAUCAAAAAUUAGAUCGAUCUUUGAAACGUCAACAAAAUAAGUAUAUGCCGAAACCCGUGCUUUUGCCUCGCUUGAUUUAGCUGGCUUCAACAAAGCACACUUAUAUGGUUGACGGUUUCUAACCAUCUCAGCAGCAUAUAUUUUGGCUUCAUCAGCCGAAUCCUCGAUCUCUUCAAAUGAAUUCGGCUCCUCAUGAGCCAAAGAUUCUUCAAGGAAAGAAAUGAUUUUCUCCUUCUCUUUGUUCCAAUCUUUGUUUUGGCUCCACCUGGGCCGAUCCUCAUUAUUUCCCUUUCGGAAUUGCUCAUAUUGAGCAACCCAAACUCCCAAAUCGAAAAGAUUUGAAAAAUAUUUAUCUUUAAAAUGAUCUUUAAUUUUGAAGUGUAAGCCGUUAAAUGUCAUUUUGGCAAAUUCUGACUUCGGCAUUCUGACGAAACAAUGGCUUCUGGCCGUUUUGAAUCGGUUCAAAUAAUCUUCAACCGAUUAGCCCGUUCUUUGUUUGAACUGAGCCAAAUCAGCGACCGACAAUUCCGGUUUUGAUCUAUAAAAUUGUUCAUGAAACUUUCUUUCUAAUUCGUCCCAAUCUCGGACGGAAUUAGCCAGCAGACUUGUAUACCAAGUGAAAGCUGUUUUGGAUAACGAGAUGUUAAAUAAUCCAAGUUUUAAAAAGUGGCCUGCAGUGGCUUCUCGGCACUGUGCCGUAAACCGUGCAACAUGCUCGACCGUGUUUUCGGUCUCAUCACUAAAAAAUUUGUCAAAUUUCGGCAUUUUCUAGUUUGCCGGAUAAGGAUGCUCUGCGUCAAUAUUUGCAGGAUAUGGUGAUCUAAAUACAGGCCGCAUUGCCGGCCUUACACUUACUCCAAAAGUAUUUCGGAUGGCUUCUUCGAUCUGUGCAUAUAUUUUAUUAUUGUUCCCCUACAAGGGAACUUCUGCUUGUGCUAUGUUCAGCCCUUGCGGUAGUACGAAGUUUUGCACCACAUGGUUUGCUUCUUGUAUAUUCGGAGCCUGCCUCCCAGCCCUUGCCCUUGCAUUUUGGGGCUGAUACGCUGCCAUUGGCGGGGGAGGUGGUAAUCCCCAUUCUAUUUCUGGCUACUGACCGGCGACAACAGCCGGUCUAUAAACUGCUUGAAAUGGUGCCCCCUGGUAUUGAGGUUGACUAUUUACCGGUGUUACAAGAUUUUGUAACACUAGUGUGACUACAGGUCCUUGUAAGCCUGUUGCCGGCUGCUCAUUACGAGUCAAUAAUUGCCCUAUUCGAGGAAUAUUCUCGUUGGAGGCCAUAAUUGCGGCCAACACUGCAUCUAACCGUGCAGUGCUUCUAUAACUAUUUUGGUCCAAAAGUUGUAGGACCUGUGUCAUUUGUCCAAGUGCCUGAGCCAGACUAGGUUCUUGUUGGUCAGACUGACCACUAGUCUCGCCUUCAACAGAUAAGACUGCUUGGCGAUCUCCAGCAUUAUCUGAAUUGCUGGAUUGUUGAUCGCUCCCGGAACUUCUGGGAACGAUCCUAUUGCACAAGUUCAUGGCGUUAUCGUCAACCAUUAUCAUAAUAUAAGAAUAAAUUUACCUAAAUGAAGUCCUACUAGGCGUGCCAAAAAUUGUUAGGAGCCGAAUUCUCCCUUCUUUGGCCUGGUCAAAGAUCCUCCUAGGGAAGCGUGUCGGAAAGUGGAACGACUACGAUCAGUGACCCUCGAAGUUUGCGCCCUUCGACUGGAUCAAACGAUUCAGCUGACAAGGGAUCGGAUCAACCGAGUUCGAAAAUCUCUACUAUGGAAUCAAUUCAGCUAGAUGAGCCGAAUGUACGGACUACACAAAAACAAGGGUCGGCCGAAGAGCCGAAUAGAUGAAAACACAGUGAUUGGUCGGCUUGAAGAGCCGAAAGCCUUUAAAUAUAUUGAAACUAACUGAUGGAAAGAAUACAGGGAUCGAGUGUGCCUAUGGGCAUACAGACUCGGUUGAUCUAACUUACUUCUACUCCUAGGGAAAAGCAGUCAAUGCAGGAAAGUGAAAAAUUACAAGUAGACUACUCCUAGAAAAUGCGAUUAAAUUGCAAGGAAAUAAGGGUGGUCUUCUAUUCUCGGAGAAAAGACCUCUUUUUAAGGCAUUAUUGGCCUAUUUAUAAACCGCCCUUGUUAAUAAGUUAUUCCCCAUCCAUGAUCCAUGAUCGGCCACUACUCCUAUUUUCUCGGGCCACCUUCAGCCGAUCGGAACCGCUUGUAACUGUUCGCGGUUACUGUAACUCUCCUUGAUUCACGCGGGUUCACUUUUCGAUGCUCCCGGUGCAGAGCAGAAAUGCCUUUCCUUUAAGGGCCCGUUUGGUUCGAGUUAUGUAAUAUUACAAAGUAUCUCGACAUAUCCAGGUAUCUUGGAUUUCGGCGUGAGAUUACUACUGAUGCUGCAUUAGCACGUUUGGUUUAAUUCAGUAAUGUAAUACUAGAUUACAGUGUUUAUAACAUUAAUACGUUUGGUUCAGUUUAUAAAAUUUAGUAAUCCUGACAUAAAAGUAUAAUUUUUUCCAAAAUUGUCCUUGCCAGAUAGAUGAAAAUAAUGCUGUUAAUUAGAUUUGGGGUUGUUUGAGGGUAAAAUUGUCAUUUUACAUAAUACGUAGUAUUAACGGGUUUCAGUAAUGCAAGAUACACGACCCCCCUCCCGUUAAUAUUUUUGAUGUAAUCCUGCUCGAUUUGUAAUGCUACAUUAACGACUAGAUUAUAUAGCGGAUUAACCAAACACAGUUAUCCUGGCAGGAUUACUUGUAAUCCUGCCAGGAUAACUCGAACCAAACGCACCCUAAAUAGAACCGCUGUGGUGUACCGGGUACCACGUGUCCGCGCCUUAUCGGCCCAACAGUCCGUUUCUUAAAUAUUUUCUUUCUCACAAGUAAUAUCUGCCACUUAGAUAAUAUCCAAUCACAUAAUAUCUUCCGCAUAUAUAAUAUUUAAUCAUAUUUUUUUUAAAAUGUGAAUAUAUAAAAAUUAUCUCAAUUUUAUCUACUAAUAUUUAAAAUAUGAGAUAUUUUUCAAUAAAAUAUAUAACAUAUGAAUUUACAAUUUAAAAAUUUCAAUUUGUAGAUAAAUGUGAUUCACAAAUUUGCAUUGAUUUGAGAUAAUUAUUAAAAUAGUUGUUGACAGACUUUUUUUAAUAGAAAAAAAUAUUGCAUUCCAUUUGCAAGAAUAGAAAAAAAAUUCAUACUUAUCCAAAUUUCUGUCAAUCGAAGGAUAUCUGUUGUAGAAUAUUUUUCACAAGCGCCCCAUAAAAAAAUUCCAUACUCAUCAAAAAAAUGAAAAUCUCUACGCAACAAACAUUGAAAAUAUUUAGUAUCCACUAUCUCUUAAUUAACUAACUAAGAAGAAAUUAGGUUUGAAAAAUAGAAUGAUUUAAAUAAGCUUAUCAAUCAACUUUAAAUUUUAAAUUUGGUUUUCAUAAUUUCAAAUGUGAAUUAAUAUUUUAAUUCAAAAUUUGAAAUUAAUUAAAAUUUUAAUAUUUGUGUGUGUAAACAGUAUUUCAAAUCGAAAAUAAUUAAUUAAGAGAUAGUGAUAUCAAAUUUGAAAAAUAGAUGGAUGAUGUAUAAAUCAAUGUCUCUAAUAAUUAUUUAUAUUCAAAUUAUGGAUUCAAAAUUAAUUUUAAAUUUUGAGUUUUGUUCAUAAAUUUAAAUUUGAAUUCAUUAAUUUAAAAUUUAGAAUUAUUUAAAAUUUUUAAAAUUUGGAUACACAUUAAAAAAAUUAAAGUUAGAAAAAAAUUAAUUGAUAAAUAGAUUUAUACCACCAAUACUUAUUUAAAUUUAAAAUAUAAAUAUAAAUAUAAUUUAAUUAAAUGUAACGUGUAUCGCAUGAAUAUAAAUAUAAAUUUAAUUUAAUUAAAUGUAACAUGUAUCGCAUGUGCAUUAUAACUAGUUAAUUUAAAAUUACGUAUUAUUUUGAUAAAUUUUGCACAUUUUUAUCUAACAAACUUGUGUUGCAUGGAAGGACUUUAUUUUUUUAGGUAGCAUUUGGUUCGGGAGCAAGGGGGGAAUAAGCCUUUGUUUUUCCCUUUGUUCCCAAACGCAGCGUUUGGUACCCAAGAACAGUAGUUUUUGGAUUUCUGGAAUAAGUCGGUAUAAAGCUAGAACUGUUGUUCCAUCUUUUUCCUGGAACAAGCUUGUUUCCAGGUGAAAAUAAGAUUAACUAAAGUUUAAAAAUAAUGUUAAUUAUGGUAUUAAUUAAUUAAUUAAUUUAAUUAAUAUAUUUAAAUCAUUAUUUAAUGAGUAAUAAUAAAAUAAUUUAUUAAUUUAUUAUUAUAAUUAUUAAUUAAAUUAUUAUUAUUUAUAAUUAUUUAUUAAUUUAUAAUUAAUUAUUAAUUAAUUUAUUAAUUUAUAAUUAACUAAUUUAUCAUUUAUUUAUUCUUAAUUAAUUAAUAUAUUAUUAAUUAAUUAUUUCAUUUAGGGGAAACUUCAAAUACAAGUGGUUUCGCACUUUCUCACUUUAGUACCCUUUGAUUUCAAAUGUAUCUAAGUUAGUACCUUGUGGUUUCAACACGUUCUCACUUUAGUACCCGUGGUUUCAAGUGUAUCAAGUUAGAUCCUGUGGUUUCGCACUUCUCACUUUAUGUCUGUGGUUUAAUAUUGUUAAAUUAUAUGCCCGAAUAUGGAUAAUAAAGAGAAAAUUGAAAACGCAUGCGUACUAAAUUGAUAUAAAAAUAAACCAUAAAGCGUACUAACUUGAUACACUUGAAACCACAGGGUACUAAAGUGAGAAAGUGCGAAACCACAAAGGGGGUAUUUGAAGUUUCCCCUUUCAUUACUAUUAUUAAUUAUAUUGAAUUAAUUAAUUAUAAUAUUAUUUAUAAUUAUUAAUUAAUUAAUUUAAUAUUAAUCAAAUAAUUUGAAAUUAAAAUUAUUAAUAAAUUAUUGUUUAUAUUUAUUAAUAAUUAUGAUUAUCCAUUAUUAAUUUAUUAUUAAUUAAUAAUAUAUUAUUUAUAAUUAUUUAUUAUUGAUUUAUUUAUUUAUUUAUUAUUAAUUAACUAAUUUAUAAUUUAUAAUUAUUAAUAAUUUAUUAUUUAUAAUUUAUUAUCUAAUUAAUUUUUUAUUAACUAAUUAAUUCAUUAUUUAUAAUAUAUUAUUUAAUUAUAAUUAUUUAAUUAAUUUAUUGUUAUUAAUUAUUAAUAUUAUUUUAUUAUUUUGAAGUAAUAUUUUGAUGUUUAUUAAUUAGAUAAAAAAAUUGUAAUUUAAAAUUAUUAUUCUUAUUCUCUUUGUUUUAAUCUAAUCAUCUAAACACUAUUAUCUUAUUUAUGGAAACAACACAAUUUUUAUCCAAAUAUAAAAUUAAUAUAAUUUUGUUUAUAUCUGAACUUAUAUUUAUCUCUGAAAUAAGUAGUUUUUAUUUAUAACUGAAUCAAACGUAGCCUUAAACAUGUUCAUUUGUGGUGCAGAUGAUUUUAGCCCCCUCUGAAAUAAGCCGUUUUUAUUUAUACCCGAACUAAACGUAGCCUUAAAUGCGGUCAUUUGUGGGGCGGAACCCCCCUUCUGUGAAUGACGUGGCGGACCGGGUCCAUUUUAAGAGAGAGAAACGGUGCGGACUAAUUCACCUUCCCCUCUCCCUCUGGUUGUUCGUUCCUCGUUCCCUUUCUUAUUAUUGCUCCACUAAUAGAUCCUCGGCCCUCUCAUCCUCUUCCCCCACCCUUCCUCUCCUCAAAUCCCGCUCCCCAAAGAGAGCGAACGAGAGGGAGAAGAGAGAGGACACCGGGAUCUCCCUCGCCAUGGCCGCCACCGAUGGCUUCUCUGACAAGAACGUCGUCUUCAGGAAGCUCAAGGCCAAAUCCGAGAACAAGGUAAUCGCAACCGCCCUCUCGCUCUCGAUUCCGUUAUGUUUUUGCUGGAUCUGGCGCUGGAUCUCCAGAUCCGGUGGGGGAUCUCUCGGAUCUGGUCGAUUGGGUCGUGGAUCGCUGUUUUCUAAUUAGGGUUUCAGUUUUGUUCCAUGUGUUCGGGGUUUUCAGAUGUGCUUCGAUUGCAAUGCGAAGAAUCCGACGUGGGCGUCGGUGACGUACGGGAUCUUCCUCUGCAUCGAUUGCUCUGCAGUCCACCGCAGCCUCGGUGUGCAUAUCAGCUUCGUGAGGUAACUGAUUCCUUCGUCAUUUCUCGUUGAAUCGAGAGAAUUAGGUAGCUUUCGUACUUAAUUUAUGUUUUUGACGUUCACAUCUGAUUAUUAGAUCUCAUCUCCGUGAUCGGGUAAAAAUUAUGGUGGGUCACCGUUCAAAAUGUAUUACUUCUUAGAAUAUUUGAUUGUUGAAUCUAUCUGUAUGCUUGUCCAUGAACUAAUAAUUGUUUAUAUUGAAAUCUGCCUAUCGGUGUGCAUGAAUAUUCGAUAUGAUAUGACAAUGGCUUAAGAUGCAUCAGCUGCAGUAGUAUGAUUGCCACAUGGAUUGCACAAGUGCACAUUUUUUUGCUGGCUGACAUGUGGUUUCGUUUCAGCUGGAUCUUACUAGUUAAGUUUGUUAAUUGUCUUGAUAUUAUGAUUACAAAGCUUACAUUGAGAAAUCAUUUUGUAGUACAUGAAGAGUUGCUUAGUGUUUUGUAAUAGUUAACUUGGUGACGUUGGUUGAGUCCUGGGACUUUGAGAAGGGGGGAAAUUCUCAUUUUCAGAGAUCAUGACUGGUUAUUCAGAUUUGAGAUAUGUGAGUUGUUGUUCCAGCAACGUUGCAUCGAUCUGUACAUCUUGAUGCUACUUUACCUUAAUGCAAUGUAUCGUGUGUUUUAUGAAUGUCUUAAUGCUAUAUGAAGUUUAUGGUCUUUACUUCAAAAUUAUACCGUAGAGGUUUAUCAAAAGUUAUAAAAAAAUAUUAUAAAUGACGAAAACUUGGAAUAUCAAAUCAAUGUUGAUCUGAUCCCUUCUUGAAAUAGAAAAAGGGAUCCUGGACAUGCAACUUCCUCCAUCAUCGAAGUGGCACACAAUUCAUUUAAAGCUAGUCCAACUAUGAAUUGAACGCUAAGCAUUUAGUAUUCCGGAAUAGUGUUAUAGGAGUCCAAUCAUAACCUAAUUAGAUGUGGACAGUCAAUCCCUAUUUAUAGGAGAUCAAUUAGGGCGAAGAAAUAAGAAAAGGUUCGCUUAAUUUCAGGUUAUAUCCGUCUCUAAAAUCAUUUUUUCUAAUGGUGCAACUCCUCAUUUCUAAAGUAUGAUGGCCUAGGUGUAUUAAUUUGGAACAAAUUGCUUUUGCUUCCUGGAAUGUAGUUAUAUGGCGAUGAUCUUUCCACUUACUCAAAUUUGGAUUGGAGAUUCAUUUGAUAUGGGUAAUCAGAUUGAGAUUGAGAUAUGUAGUUGGCAAAAUCUUAUAAACACUUCUGUUUCUAUAUGUAUUGCUUCUUGAAACUUUUCCUUCCAACAUAUCUACACUGAUUUGUGUUUUAUAGGCUGUGGCUGUACCAUGCAUUAAUACACUCCGGAAGUGUAUAACCAUUCCUUGAAUAGUUUAAUCUAAAAUAUAAUUUUACACAUAUAUUUGAUAACGAUAUCUUGUGCUUCACAGGUCAACUAAUUUAGAUUCUUGGACUUCGGAGCAGCUUAAGAUGAUGGCUUUUGGAGGCAACAACCGAGCACAUGUCUUCUUUAAACAGCAUGGGUGGACGGAUGGUGGCAAAAUAGAGGCAAAGUAUACAUCAAGAGCUGCUGAGCUGUAUAGGCAGAUACUAGCAAAGGAAGUUGCUAAAAGCUCUCCGGAUGAUAAUGGUUUGCCGUCAUCGCCUGUUGCAACACCUCAGGUGUCAGAUUCUGCCAAUGGCCUCCCUGAGCUUAAGCUUUCAGAUGCUUCAAAAGAAAAUAUGAAUGAGAAGCUUGAACCUGAGGUCGUUCGUUCGCCUAGAGCCCCUAUUCAUCCGACAAUCAAGAAGCCCAUUGGUGCAAAGAAGACGGGAGGGAAGACAGGGGGACUUGGUGUCCGGAAGCUUACUACAAAGGUUGAUUCUCUCUUCAUUGCUAUAGAUUGUUAACUAAGUGAUGCUCAUUGCAACUAUAUUAUUAUCAUCAUUAGGAAUGGUGUCUCUGUGACCUCAUAUCUCUAUCGUAUGGUUCCAAUCAUGAUAUUCUGUUGGGAGAAUUUAUAGAUUUUACCUGAACUGUAAAGCAUCUUAUAAUUGUUAUCUGAACUUGAGAAAAUUUGAUUUUGCUACCCAUAAACUUGAAAAACUAUGGUUUUGCUACCCGUUACUUUUAAUUUCACAAAAUUUAGCCAUGUUCUAUUAAAUGUGAAAAAAGUUGAUGAAUAUUUUGUUGAGUAACAGAAUAUUUUGAUAGGUUACGGAAUAUUCUGAAAAAAGUUCAAAUUGCUGUUCAGUUCUUACGUAGGGGUAGCUAAAUUAAAUAUAUUAUAAGGUUUGGUAGUGAAAUCACAAUUUCUGAUGUUCAGGUUUGUAUGGAAAUAAGCCAUAUACUUAGCUGUAAUGCCUAUGUUUUAACAUAUGUUGUUUGAUCUAUAAGGAGGCUAUUAAUCAUGUCUUUUAUUUUUGUACUGAAUGAAUAACAUUCUCUUUGUAGUUAUGUAGUCAACAACUGUGCCCUUAUAAUCCGGCUGAAUAUUUGUUUGAUAAGAUUUUUUGAACAUGUUGAAGGAAUGUAUUAACCUUGGCUGUCAUCACUUGCAGCCGAAUGAAAGCCUUUAUGACCAGAAGCCUGAAGAACCAGCACCUGCUUUACCAUCCUUGGCUACUUCCACCACAACAACUGGCCUUUCCUUCCCUUCCCGAUUUGAAUAUGUGGAGCCAUCGGCCGAGACCAGCUCUGGAGGAACUCAAGUGAUUGGCCAUGUCGCACCACCAAAAUCUUCGAACUUCUUUCAAGAGUUCGGGAUGGACGGUGGUUUUCAGAAGAAAACAAGCUCAACUUCAUCUAAAGUACAGGUAACAUCUUAUUAGCUCAUAUAGGCAUAUUUUAAUUUGAUAAAAUUUGAUAUAAGUCCACUUCAACUUUGAGAAUUAUUGGGAGAUUGACACUUGCCUGUUACUAAAGUUUUUAUAGUAUUUUUACUUCUUGAAUAGAUUAAUUAAUUUUUUUUUUCCCAUUGUUUGUACCUCCUGGUUUCUUAACUUUGUAAUGCUAUCAAAAGGCUAUCAAAUCGGCAAUUUUUAUAUCUAGUAUGAAACUGUAAUACAUAGUGUGUUUUAUUAUGAAGCGUAUUGCUCUUUUGUGUUACUUAUGAUUUUGAGCAUUGACUUGUCUUUUCGCUUAUUUGUUUUCUCUUGUUUUUUAUUGAAUAGUUUAUUUUCUCCAUUAGACAUUUUUACAGUACUAUGGACAAACACUCUCCGCCAAUCUAGUUUUAAAGGCACUGUAUUAACGACUUUAUGUGUCUAUGUAGUAACUUAGAAUUGUCACUACGUUAAGACUAUUUCAGCACUUCGUACCAGGGGAUUUAUCAGCUUAAUUAAUUUUUGGGAGCUUGGCAUAUUGUUGGUAUGACUAUAUAUAUUUUGUAAAAACCAUGGAUGUGAACGAGAAAUACUAUAUCAAGCUGGAAGACAUGCAGUGUGACACAUUUGGCACUGACCAAUACAAAUGGUGUUGAAUCUGAACAACCCACCAUUGCCAUCAUUUUCUUCAUUCUUUUGUGGGUUUAUUUUUGUCCCUCAUUUUAUGCUUUUGUUGGAUCUUUGCUUGGUUUAGAGAAAUCUACAUGUACAACCCUACUUUUUCUGGCAAUCCCAUGUGAAUCAUUUUGAGUUUUUCUUUCGCUAAAGUCGUUGUUCACUAUAUAUUGGGAUCAUAGAUUAUUUUGCUAACACUGUUACCUUUUGUCCCUCGGGACAUUUUUACCCUCAUAUACUUUGUAUGUAUAUCCUUGGCUUUUAACUUUUGAAAAGCUUCUUACAUCUAUCUCACUUCUGGUGGUCAUGGCAGCCAUGGUUGGCCUUCAUCUUGUUAUUGCUGCUCUAACUUUGGUCAGGCUUUUGGCUUUUGUUCUGUUUUCAAUAGUCCCAAACUGAGUAUGGUUUGUUUGUCCAAGAAGGCAAACUUCACUCCAUUAAGUGGAUCUUUCUUGUAAUUUUGUCGUGGAGGAUAAAAACAAAAUUAGUAAUAUGUUAUUUGUCCUGAAAUUGAUUGACUACCAAUAGUUCUUUUGAAAGCCAAAAAUGUUUAAUGGCUUUUUUUUUCCCCAUGAAUCCUGAAUCAUAAUUUAAUCCUGAAAUCCUAAUAUUCAAAUGAAUCAGAUCUACUCUCGUCAUAGUCACUCCGUUGUUAAGGUCAUUUAGUGUCCCUUUGUAUUGGUAAUCAGAGAAAAGGUUGGAGGAGGAUAAUAUUAUUCAUCUAUCUUUUUUUUCUUUUUUUUUUCUUCUGUUGUUGUGCCAUUAACACCAGUUACCAUGAUAGAACUUACCUCAUUGGCUUGUGCGCUGCUAAAUGCUGCUGUUAAUUGCACAUAUUGAAUCUGUAAAUUACCAAUUAUUCAAAAUUCUCAUUGUUUUGCAAUCAUAUAAGAGACUAGGCAGUAAUAUUUUAUUAGCUAUUUAAAUCUUAAUUAUCUCCUUUGGUAUAUAUUAUGCAUCUAUUUUUUCUAUUAAAUGUUUAAGUGCUGAUGUGAUCUCUUAAUGAAUUCAUUAAUGCUUCUCAGGUACAAGAAAGUAAUGAAGCAAGACAAAAGUUCUCAAAUGCCAAAUCCAUUUCAUCGGCUCAAUUUUUUGGUGAUCAGAACAAUGCUGAUAAGGAGGCCCAAAUCUCACUUCAAAAGUUCACAGUAUGCCUCUUUUGCCAUUUGCUACUGUUACCUGAAUUAGUAAUAUAUCAAAGAAAGAUUGUGUUACUCCAAAUAUUAGUUCCAUUAAUUCAUUUUACGAUGCUAGCAACCAAGCAACACCAUGUAAACAAUAUUCAUAUGUAGGGAUCAUUGUUCUAGUAGUUAUAGUUGUUCAUGUUAUAAAUGGAUUGAUUUGAUGAGCUGUGGCUCUAUGUUUGAAUUAUUCUUCCCUUUUAGGGUUCAACAUCCAUUUCAAGCGCUGAUCUCUUUGGUCAUGAUAUGGACGAUCCUCGUCUUGACCUCACUGCUGCAGAUCUCAUCAAUCGGCUUUCUUUCCAGGUACCCCUGUUAGUUCUUACUAACAUAUUAUUCUCUGAUAACAUACUAGUGUUCUUAUUAUUUAAGAAAAAGCACCGAAUAACGUUCAAGGAAUAGUGCCGGUCCAAUCUAAGUGGAUAUACGGCGUUUAUUUUGUAUUCUGGAAAGAGCCUAAAAAAGAAGAAAAGAAAGGGGAAAAAGAAAAGAAAACAAAAAAGAAAGAAACAUAAGCAAUUCCACAGGUCCUUUAGCUUCUUCCUCUUAUUUAUCAAUUUUGUGAUGGUUUAUUUGAGAUGAUUCGGAAGUGUUUAUGAGGUGGUACUCAGUCUUUUUUAUUUUCCAAUUUUUUUUUUCAGGCAUCACAGGAUAUAUCUUCGCUUAAGAACAUAGCCGGAGAGACCAGUAAAAAGCUGACAUCUUUAGCGUCGAGCCUCAUUAACGAUCUCCAAGACCGAAUCCUCUGAGUGUAAUAGUACAUGCAUGAGAUGAUAUUCUUAUUUUUAUAAAUUGUCCGAAGGCAAUCCUCUAAAUCUCAGUUCGUGGUCAAUAUAAGGAAACCCUGGAGAUUGCUGCUUUAGCCUGCUGCAGUAAUUUUAUUCCUGUUUUCUUUUUCUGCUUAGAGAGAGACAUUACUUAAAGGUUGUGACUUUAGUGGUGGUACACAUCAUGGCCAACUUUGUUUAAACAUACCGAACUGGGAACCAUAGCAAAAUGUUGUGUAUUUUGAUUAUUAUUAUAAUUGUUUUACUAUUAUUGCAUCUCUCUCGGUGCAUUCUUGAAGAUCGGUCUUUAAGUGAUUAAAUCAGUAUUUGAUUCCAUUGGAUGGUUGAGAUGAUUGUUAUUUCUAUUUAUUUUGUGUUAUUUUUAUUUUCUGUCCUGUUAUCACUUUUCGUUGGCUGAUGUUGUGGAUGAAUUUCAUAAUUUUUUCCUCUCAACUUUGUUAUCGUCCUGCGCCAUUGUAAAAUCGUACGGCCUUUCCCUAGAAAUAAUUCAGUGAGAAACGUUAAUAAAGAAAAAUUUUGCUUGGAAUGUUAUUUAAGUAUUUUGCUCCAUAUAUGGAGGGCUGUUUGGUUUUACGUAAAAUUAAGAAAUAUAAUUUGGUGGAAAAAAAAUUCGGAGUUUGAAGAGUUUUACGGUAUUUAGGUAUUGUUUAGUUAAUUAUAGGAAUUAAAAAUAAAGUUUUUAUAUUUCAUUAUAGUAGGUUGGUAUAAAAUUCUAAAUAUUUUGAUAUGUUUUACUUUGGUUUUCAGUAUUUGGAUAAAAUAUUGUAUUUUUCACAAAAUUAAAAAAAUGGCUAAUAUUUUAUUUUUUAGCCGUUAGUUUUUUCAAAAACUAGUCAGGGUCUUUUGAAGCUCAUGCUAAGUAUUCAUAAUUUAUCCAAAGCUUGUCCAAAAAAAAAUAAAGUCUUAUAAUGUUCAAAGCUGGUCAAAUUAGUUGUUAUGAUGACGCAGAAAUAAUAAAAUAGCUUAAUUUAAAAGUGGUCAAAUUAGUCCUCAAGUGAUUUGACUCAGUCAAACUAAAUGUUAGAGGAGAUUUUUUUUUUUAUUUUAAUAAAGACCUCAGCCUCUGUAUAAUACAUAAAUCUUUUGCUAGGAUGAGCAUAAAUCUUUUCUUAUAUAUUCAUUUUAUCUAUAUUUAAUUUUCCUAUACCUUUGUAAGAAUUUAUGGAUCAAAAUUAUUUGAGAGGAAUGCAAGAAGAUAAUGAUUACUAGAAAAAAAUGCAAAAAAUUAUAAUGAGUUCGUGGUCAUUUUUUUUUUCUACGAUAAACAAUUGUGCUGCAAUGAGAGCAUCUAUUUACCCUCAGUCAAACGGGAGCGUGUUAUGCUAGUGAAGUUUUCUAAGGUCAUGAACUUAGAUACAAAAGAGGGUUUCGAAUAAAUUGCCAUAAUUUUCAUGCAUUACUGAAAUAGUUCAAAGACAAAGAUCUUCUGCGUGGCACCAUAUACGUCACCGCUGAAAAGUAGGUAACUAUAUUUUUAUACACAUCAGCAAAAAAUGCAAGAAAUCGGACUAUACAAGAAUGUUUUCAGCAUAGCGGUAAAAUUGCUAGUCGAUAUAAAUCUUUCUUAUAUAUUAUUUUUAUCUAUAUUUAAUUUUUCUAUACCCUUUGUAAGAAUUUAUGGAUCAAAAUUAUUUGAGAGGAAUGCAAGAAGACAAUGAUUACUAGAAAAAGAUGCAAAAAAUUAUAAUGAGUUCGUGGUCUUUUUUUUUUUCUACGAUAAAGAAUUGUGCUGCAAUGAGAGCAUCUAUUAUUCACCCUCAAUCAAACGGGAGCAUGUUAUGCUAGUGAUGUUUUCUAAGGUCAUGAACUUAGAUACAAAAGAGGGUUUCGAAUAAAUUGCCAUAAUUUUCAUGCAUUACUGAAAUAGUUUAAAGAGAAAGACCUUCUACGUGGCACCAGAUACGUCACCGCUGAAAAGUAGGUAACUAUAUUUUUAUACACAUCAGUAAAAAAUGCAAGUAAUCAGACUAUACAAAAAUGUUUUCAGCAUAGCGGUAAAAUUACUAGUCGAUAUUUUCACUAAGUGCUAUAUAUGAUUAUAUAUAUCAGUUCCCACAACCUAUCUUCCCCCCCCCCAAACCAAAAAAACCCAAAAAAAUAUAUAUCAUAAAUAGUUAAAAAAAAUUUCUUAUUUUGAGGGGCGCUUGAAAUUUUUUUACUUUGGCAUCAAAUUUAGUAUUGAAAAUGAGUAUUUUACUUUUGCAUUUAAUUCAGUAUUGAAAAUGAGUAUUCUAAAAAUAAUAAUUGUUUCGUUACAAAUUUCACAAUUAUAUUCUUGCUACGACGAGAGAUGGAGCCCACUGCCCUUUAUUACAUUAUACACUAAUUAACCCCACACACAGGAUCAAAUCCUUCUCCUUUUGAAACAUAUCUUCAACAAAUCUCUUUAAUUCUAGGUGGGUUACCUCAUUUAUCCAUCUUUUCUAUUAUGCCUCUCUCUUUGUGCUAUCAUCUCAUUCUCUUCUAUAAAUUCAUUAUUUCAUGAAGGAGAGGUUAUGAAAAGUUAUGACAUACAAGAGGGUUUUGUAAGGCCAAUUAGGGCACAUGUAUAUAGGAGGAGAAGGAAAGGGGGAAGAGAGAGAGAGAGAGAGAGUGUGUGUGUGUAUGUGUGUGUGUGUGUUACUUGAAGCCAUUCAUGUGAGGAGAAGAGGCGACGAGAUUGGAGUGUUUGGAGAAGGGGGCGAGGGCGAAAUGCAAAAAGUGCGAGCAUAGGUGUUCAGUGACAAAUAGAGAAGCCAUUCAUGUGAGGAGAAGAGGCGACGAGAGUGGAGUGUUUGGAGAAGGGGGCGAGGGCGAAAUGCAAAAAGAACGAGCGUAGGUGUGCAGUGACAAAUGGAGAAUUAUUUUAUAUCGUUUCAAUCACUUUUUUAUUUUUUUUCCCAAUUUUAUUCUACAAUUCUCACAUUACAUAGUAAUUUUUUUUUAGCUUAUUAGGCUAUCCAUGCUAGCUAACAAAAAAAGAAAGUUUUUUUUUCUUUGAAAAACAUAGCAAAUUGGCCUAUUAUAGAGUAGGGAGAGUUUCCCAAAUGUGUAGUGUGCUGGACCUUCACAAAUAGACAAGGUUGCAAUGUAAGCUAAUGGUCAGCAUGUUUGUAGAGUGCUAGAUUGAGUUGGAGCUAUUUUGGCGUGAAAUAGACACACAAACAAGUUCUAAAUGUUGAAAUGUAACGUAUUGAAAUCUCGAUAAAAAAAUAGUGAACUUUAGCCAAAUUGACUAAAGUGUGCGAAUGGAUUAAUUGGGCGAGUUCCAAUUAACCUACCAAUAGUGUUGGAGGGCUAAAAAUGAGUUUAAGAGGUGUUAGAAAGGUUUUAGUAUCGAUCGGUGCGAAAUAGAAUCGAAAACGGUGCAAAAUCAGCAUUCUGGGCAAAGUGUACCGGUACAACCAUCGAGUUGUCACCGGUACAGCCUUGCAACCCGAGAAGAAAUUGCUCUCGGAUUUGAUUUUUCGCAAAAAUGUACCGGUACACCCCUGGUGUGUACCGGUACACUUUGGUAAAAUCCGAGGAGGCUGCCCUUGGGUUGCCUCUGCGCAGAAAAUGUACCGGUACAAAAUCCCGUGUACCGAUACACUUUGGUCUCGUAGCAACAAUGAGAUCUGCUGCAAAUAGAAAGAAGUGGAGGGUUUAUUUGUAAUUGUUACAACAUAUUAAUACCCCAAACACCCUCCCCUCUCUCUUUCAUAGCCCACACCUCACUCCCUCUCAUUUCUCUCUUUCUCUCUCUAGAAACCUCUCCAAGGAGCAAAGAGGAGUAGGAGAAGAAUUUUUGGAGGGUUUUGGAGCUUGGAGAAGAUCUAAAACUCUCCUACAGGGUGGAUAUUGGUGAGCUUUGGGCAAAGAUGAGGUUUUUAUGAAAACCUAGACUAGGGUUUGGGUUUAUGUCCUAGAAAAACUAGGUUUUGAUCUUCUAAUGAGUAUAGAAACCUAGUUGGAGCUAUAAAACACAUGAAACCCUAGUUUCUUCAAAGUGCUCUAAUGAUGGAUUUCUAGGGUUUACUUUAUAUGCCCUAGAAAUGGUUUGGAUGAUUCUAAAUGAACUUCUAGAGGUUAGACAAUCUCUCUUUUGCUUGUUUUAGAGAUCAAAAUCUAGAAUUUAGCAAAUGGCAAUGUUAGGGCAUCCAAUUUGAGGCUUUUGCCUUAGAAUAUUUCUAAGGCAAAUUGACCUUAUAGAAACCUAAUUGGGGGUAUUCCCGAUACGUUGGGCAACUUCGUUUGACGUUACGAAAAGGUCUAGAUAAAGUUAUUGAGAAAAAGCCUAAUUUGGCUUCGUUUUGCCGUAGGCGAAAAAGUAAGACUUCGAAAAUUCUAAGAAAUUCACCGUAGCACCUUUGCAACCAUACAAGGUGGGUGGUGCAUUCCGAAGACCUCGAAAUUCCUUUUAUGUCUAAAGUGUAAUAUUUGAGCAUGUGUAUUGAGCAUAAAAUUUGCAUAGUAGGGUUAUAUGUGAGCAUUUCAUUGCAUGUUGUGAGUACAAAUGCAUAUGAGUUACUAGCAAGAAUGUGAGAAUUUUAUAAACCCUAUUUAUGCAUGACAAGUGACAAGAAUUUAGUAGACUUAGUAAACAAAUGUGACAUCUUGAUAUAGAAGUAGAAAGUGACAUUGAUGAGUCGGGAAUGCUAGAGUUGAAACACUUAGAAAAUAAGUGUGGCAUGUGUACAAGAAUCAGGGACGAAGCCAGAAAUUAAGAUUCAGAGGGGCCAAAAUUUAAAUUUGAUAGAAAAAAAUUUGACCUCUAAUAGUAAGAAAAAAAAAUUUGUCAGAUUCAUUGAUCAGUUAUUACUAAUAACAAUAACGACAAUAUACUCAGAGAGGAACAAGACUGUAAGAAUUGAAGGGAAUGACCAAAAAAUUUGAAAAAAAAAUUGAGACAAAUUUUAUUAAAAAAUUUAAUUUGGCCCCCUAAAAUUAAAAUCUAUAAUAUUUUAAUUUUUAUUAUAAAGGACCUUUAUGUAAUUUUAAAAAAUUAAGGGGGGCCAUGGCCACUGUGGGCUCCUCAAUGGCUCCAGCCCUGACAAGAACAUAGUAGUGUAUAUGACACUAGUAAAAGUAAAGAAUUCAAGUAAAGGAGUGAUAGUGACAUUAUGACAAUUUCAACCUCAGAGUUAAGGGUCAUAGUGCAUGGCUUCCUUAUAGUUAAGGAAUGGAUUGAGCUUGAUAUCCUUAUAGUUAAGGAUUGGAUCAUACUCACCUGUAAGUCCUUACUCGAGGGUGGUAGCUCCCCCUCAGGCGAUGUGCUCUGGAGUUGUCAUCACUGGGUCGUAGUAGUCUCCCCAGAGGACGGUCCCGUCGGAUGUAGUAGUCUCCCCGACUAUUGGAAUUUGAGUUGGUGAGUCUAUUGUGGGCGAAAUCUACGGGCUAGCCUAGAGAUUGGGUUCUGAGCAGUAACCUUGCAUUCAUCAUGAGUACUUUAUUGAGCAUAGCAUUAUUUAUUGUUCAAGCAUAUUAGCUGCAUUUGCUUUAGCUUGGUUACUAUCUAUCUAUUCUUCUAUUAUGCCUGAUUUAGACCUAGUGGGAAAGUCGGCGUUGCCGGUUGCCGAACCCACUGAAAACUUUGUUGUAGUUCUCACCCCAAUAUUUUCACAGAGCCGGGACUGAGCGAGCCGGCGGACGAUCGCGGUAAAGGUAUUGCGCCAUAGAUAGAGACCUCCCGGGCGGAUUUUCUUUUGUAGUCGCAUACCUCUUUAUACAUCACCUUUUUGUAUUUUGAUGACUAUAGAUGUUAAAGGAAAAAGAUUAUGAAUGAUGUAAAAUACAUUCUAUAUAUCAAUGCAAGAACUUAUAUUUUGAGAUCAUGUGAUGUAAAAGAGAAGAAAUGAUACAAAAAUAUAAAUGAUUUCCUAAGUGUAGUUUACUACUUUCACUAUUGGCUAUCGCUUGCCCUCGUGCAAGUCAUUGUGUAUGCUUCCGUUUUGUGCAAAAUUCAUACUCUAUUUGUACAGGAUGUUGAGCCUUGGGCGGACAGAGAAAAUUCUGUCCGUUCGGCGUCUGUUUGACGGGUCUGAACCGGCCAAAUAGGACCGGGUUCGGGGCGUGACAUGAAAUAUGCUGAAAUUGAAGUUUCAUGCUUUUUUGGAUGCCCGGAACAAGGUUAGAGCGCUUGAAAGUGGCGUACAGUGGUAAUUCCGGAGUAUAGUUGUUGAUGCCCAGAGAAGUCCUAGAUGGACCCGGAUGAUGGAGUCACUAUUCAUGCCAUGAUUCAGAUGCUCAGUAUUACUGUAGCAACCGAAAGUGGGUUGAUGAGUUGAUUUGACUUAGGUGGUGAGCAGAUGACUAAGCGAACAGACUUACUACGUUUCGAACAAAGGUCCGGGCUUCUGAAAAUAUCUGGGCGCAACUAUGAUGGGUUCAGUCCUCCUAUCGCAGUUGGGGAGCACUCGAAAGCUUUUGGCUGCGAGAUUUUGAAUGACCGAAUGAUGGUUCCCGAUGCUUGAAAUCGGCUUUUGGGCAGAGGUUUGAUUUUUUGAGAUUUUGUGGGAUUUUUUGCCUUUGUGCUCAUCUAUAAAUAGCAUAGGGAGGCUUGUCUUAACCUCUUUUUACAUCCUCAUCCAGCUAAGCUACUUUUUCUUUUUUUUUUUUCUUCUUCGUCCUUCCUUCUCAAUCAAGCUUGGAGCCCCGCUUGAUGUGAGCUCUUUCCAUGUUGGAGAUGGCCUAACUGUGAGAGGAACUUGUAGGGUGAGGAGGAGGAGGAGAGGUGGAGAUGAUUAUCUUCACAAGAUCCUUGAGGUAGGUAUUGUUGGGUUUCAUGGAAUUUUAUUCAGAUUUUAGUUGACGUUGAAUUUAGAAGUAGGUUUAUUGAUGGUUUUAGGAGUUGAGUUUUCGGGAUUCCCCAGUUGAUUUUGGUGCUGUGAGGAGGAGAUUGUCGAGCGUGCUUUUUCUACCUUUUUUGGAAUAGUUUAUUCAAGUGGGUUCUAUGUUGCCGAGCAUGGCGGACUACUUUUAUGUCUUUUUUGCAUGCUUGAUUAUUACGUUGUCAAAUAGUUUUGUACAACAGUGGUAGCGUAAGGACACUUAUAUUAGCAUGAUUUUGUUAUUUGGGCAACUUAUCAGUAUGUGGAUUAUUUGUAGAUUUUGGUAUUCCUACUGUUUGAAAUCAUGUUUACAUAUAUACUAAUGAUAUAUUAUUGUAUGCAAAAAUGGGAAAAAAUGCCAUGGGAUAAGUUUUUUUUUGAGAGAUAGGUAGCAUGCUACCCGCUUCAUUUAUUUCAUUUAGAAAUAAACUUAGCUAGAAAUGUGAAUCAACUAGGAUUCGAACUUGGGACCUCGGGUUCCAACCACCAAGCCCUUUGCCACUUGCGCUAUGGAUGGUCGGUUGCCAUGGGAUAAGUUGGUCGUGAUAGGUAGUAUGUGACUGUGCCAGAGGACACCUUGAAAGUUGAUGGUGAUAUUUAUGAUCAUUGCAUUUGACUAUAGCCAACAAAGCCAUAUUGAGCUUUACAGAGAUAUAUAAUACUCAAUGGAGUUCGCCCCUUGAGUGCCCCUCCAAAGGCCGGCUAAUAUAGAUGUGCUAGGCAUCCUAUGUGUUGACGGGCUACCUACAAGAGUGGGACAGGGCAAUAGAUAGGCGUAGGUUUAACCAGACUUAUGAGUUGGUCAUUAUGAUUGGAUUAUGCAAUAUUCUUUUAUCCAGUAUGAUAGUUGGUGCAUGAUAUAUGAUCUUUUGCUUUCAGUGUUAGUAUGUAGGAAUGGUAGUUAUUCUUAUUUAGUUGAAUUUAUACUUUGUUAUUUCCUCAUGUCAAUUCAUACAUAUACAAGCUGCUAUACAAAAAUAAAUAUCUACUAGUAGGAGUCCUCCUCUAGUCUGAACAACACUGAUAGGAGAUGCUAUAUAUCUAGCUUGCUAACCUCAUUGACAUAGAAUUAGUUAUAAACUAAUUGAUGUCCCUUCAACAUCUCUCCUAAUCCAAAUAGGAUUAUCAUUCUCUCGCUCAAAAGUGUCUUCUAAAUCAACCAACAUGUGCGGAUUUUUCUCUAUUCCUAUUCGUACAUCAGUUUCAGAAUAAGUUUCAGAAUACAUCUCUCCCAUGUCAAAAUGUCUCUAGGUUUCAUUGGCCUAGGAAUAAACCAAUCAUUAUCUUUCCGAUCUUGAACAAAUAUCACUUGGUGAGCUUGAGAUGCGAAUAUAAAUGGUUUAUCACUAAGGCGAUCGCCCGUGUGUAUCAAAUGAGAAAAAUUGAUGAGUUUAAACCCUAUUGCCUCUUGCUUUAAUCCUUUACCACGGUUUACAUCGGCCCAAUCACAUUUAAACAAAUAAUUUUAAGUCCAUCAUAAUAAUUCAAUUCAAUAAUAUCAGUUAGUAAGCUGUAAUAAGUAACAUCUUCAAAAAUAGGCCUUGAGUCACUAGUACUCGCAUAGUUUUGCAUCUUAGAAAUCACCUUAACUCCACUAUUUUGAGUAUUCAUAUCAUUUUUGUAUUCUUUGAUUCAAAAUCUAUAGCCAUUGCUGACAUCAAAAGCUUGGAACCGUCCUGUAAUAUAAUUUGGUCCACGAGCAAGCUAUCUUUUAUCUUCAGUAAUUCAAUCAUCUGCUUCAUUAUCCAAUUCUUGAACCUAAAAUAUUAAAAGUAAAGUUUUGAUUGGCUAAUAUCAAAUAAAAAUAAUUUAUAGUUCAAAAUAAUUUUUAUAAGAUAGUAAUUAAUACUUACAUGUUCCCUAAACCACUCGUGGAACUUAUCGCAGUGCAAGCGAUCUAUAUCAUGUUGUGCCACUUGACUACACUGAUUUAUCCUCUUGAUUGUAUUUAUAUGUGUAGUGUUCCAGAGGUUUGGAGAGGAUUGGCUACAGUAUUAGUGACUGGUCGACACCUCUGGAGAGUGUCAGACUGAGUCGGAGCCGUUUCUGCACGAAAUGGAUGCAGAAAUAGACUCGGCGCACUCAAAGGAGUAAAACUGGAGUUUUGCCAGUUUCGGGCGCUUAGAACAAGGUUUGGGUCGCCCAAAACUCAAGUGCUGAACUGAGCAGAAUUGGAAGCCAAUUCGGAUCCUAGUUUCGGGCGCCCAAAAGUGGGUCCGAAAAUUUACUUCGUUAGUAUCGUUUGCGUUGACAUGUGGCUGGUGGUAGGUGAGGUCCGCCGGAGUCGGAUAUGGGCGUAGCACACCGCAGGCGGAGGAACCGAAGGGGAUCUUUUGUGCAGCCUGGAGGUUUCGGACACCAAGAACAUGAUUUCGGGCGCCCGAAAAUAUGCGUUUUUGCAGGGGCAGCAGAUUGGAAAUGUUUGCUCUUGAGGCUUAUUUCACCCCUUCAACACCCUAUAAAUAGGUAGUGUUCGACCACAGUGAAGCCUUCUCGUUCCUUCUUCACAGAGAAGCUCCAUUUUGCACCUAUGUCCCUUAAUUUACUCCAAAUUCCACAAUUCCAAGCUUGAGGAGUGCUGAUUCUGCAGAUUUCCAAUAGCGACGUUUAGCGUUUUGGCUCGUGUGCGACGUAGGAAGCUCCGUUUGCUGUGAAACUUGGUUUGGUGGAUCCUGGACUUCAAGAGGAAUUCAUGGAGCCAUUUUGGCAGAAUUUUAUUGAGGUUAGUUUGGUCAAAUUGCUGUUUUUCUGGACUAUUGCAGUAUUGAAGCUGAAAAUUAAGUUUUGUGGAUUUUCAUGAUGCAAUCUUUGGAGGAAGAUGGAUUUUGGACCUGAGGGUGAUUCUCCAUCUUAGUACAUAGGUUUUGGAACCUUGCUUCACCAGAUUUGAAGAUCGAAAGGUGAAAUUGACAUUGAGAUUGAAGAAGUUUGAGCGUAGGGGCUGAAUUUUAGUAUAUUGAUAGCUUUCUUGGUUUUGUUGUUUUAGUUUUUGGAGAAUCCUUGCUGCUGGUCCAGGGGUGGUUUCGAUUGUGUAUUCCAGUGGCUUCGCGACUUCUAGCUAUGCCGUGGAUUAGCGCUAGAGGUGGGAUAAUGUUAUGCUUACCGUAUUUCGCGGAUUUCCUCCUAAGUUGUAUUGUUGUCAGCAUGAAUGUUGGUUAUCAUGUAUCAUGCUAAUUAGCUCAAGUUAAUGGAUUUGCAUGUUUAGUGAAUCUGAAUUUUAGAGCUUAAAUGUUAGUUAAAUAUACAUGCUGGACUUGAAAAUUGAUUUAGGAGAAAACUGACGUUUCUACACUGUCACAUGUUAAAACUACCAGAUUUAGUUUUAGGAGCUGUAGUUGUUUUGUAUCACCGCAGUAUGAGGGCGGUGGAUAGCCAGGAUAGUGUAGAUUGUAUUUACGCUCGUGCUGGGAUGCCGAGCUUAUUUUUACAGCAGUGAUUAGGCUGUUCCGGACUGUCGGGUGCCGUUGUGGUUAACGGUGGACCCAGAUUGCUAUUUUUGCAGCAGAUUGUGCCAAUGGCACAUGAGUUUGGUUGUUAGAUCAGUGUAACCCUGUUUACUUCGAUCAUAGCCUGUGAGAGCCUGAUUGAGCUCGAUAGAGAUACGCUUGCAUACUCUGUUGGGUAGCGCCUACGAGUGCCACUUCGGAGUCGGGCUUUGUGCGUUUACGUUGGUGUCGUUUUGUCCUGGUUGGACUUGUUGAUCUCCACGGACUGCUUAGCGUGGAGGUAGCUGUAUAGCUUCGACAGGCGGGACGGGUGUGCUCACAGUCCCUGGGACGGGUAUGUUUACAGUUCCUAGUGAGAUUGGGUCAGAGAUGGUUUUGUUAUACAGAUUGUUAGUGUUGGAUCAUGAUAGUAUAGUGGCAUGUAGCUAUAGAUUGUUUCUAGUUUUCUUCUAUCAUUGUGUAUCCCUUCUGUAGACUUAGUGGGUGAGCCGUUGAGGUCGAUAGCGGUACCCACUGAGGACUACUUUUUUUUGCAGUAGUUCUCACGCCCAGUUGUGGAUCUUUUGCAGAGCCUUCUGUUCCGGCUGCUGCUACUACCGAGAUUGAUUGUGGCAAUGGCAUUGCGAGUUAGAGCCCUUCCAGACGAGUCGCAGAGCUAGAGAAGUACCAGCUAUAGGUAGUUGUAGUUUUUGGUUCUUUACAUACGGAUGUUGUACCUCGCUGGAGCGAGUAUUUUUUAUACCCGGAUACUAUGUAUGUAUUGAACCACUGUUAUUAUAUGUUUUACUUUUCCUAGCAGCUCUAUAUUACUGGUUGUAGUGUUGUAUGAUUACAAGUACAGCUUCGCUUCGUAUAUAGGAAAAUUUUUUUGUAUACGGCGGAUUUGUCGGUGUGCCCGGGGAAACGAGUAAUCCGGGGCAUGGCAAUAUGUUCUCUACAUAUGUAAAGGAUAUUGGUAAAUAUAAAUCAAUAUAAACUUUGCAUAUGUAAGCCUUUUUUUUUUGUGUUAUUCACUUACUUUCGAAAGGACUCAAUGACAUCAGAAUUACUGUUGAAGAGAACAUAUCGAUGUGCUUGUAUCCACAUUUUCUCAUCCAUCAUAAAUGCUUGAAUUUUUUCAUAAGGCCUCCAUACAUUAGGGAACAUACUAAAUUCCCAACCCAAAUCAUCUCUAGUAUCUACACAAUUGUUGAUAUUGUGAGUACUGCGAUUUUUCCUACAUAUGUUUGAUAUCGUUUUAAAUGUUGUCGUGUGCAUUUUAAUUUUGCGCUUGACCAUCAAAUUUCAGUAAAAAAUGAUUUAAAUUAAAAUUUUUACACGAUUAUUACUUUUCACUUAAAGUAAAUAGUAACCUGCAUUUCUGGCGAUGACCGGGGAGAGAAGUGGGCUUCGGACGUGAAUCGGACUCCAUUUUGUAGUGUUCCUGGGGUUUGGAUAGGAUUGGCUACAGUAUUUGUGACUGUUCGACACAUCUGGAGAGUGUCGGACUGAGUCGGAGUCGUUUCUGCUCGAAUUGGAUGCAGAAAUGGACUAGGCGCACUCAAAUAGGUGAAACUGGAGUUUUGCUAGAUUCGGGCGCCCAGAACAGGGUUUGGGCCGCCCAGAAUUUGAGUGCAGAACUGAGCAGAACUGGAAGCCAAUUCGGAUCCAUGUUUCGGGCGCCCGAUUUUGGGUCUGAAAGUUCAGCAACAUUUGUGCUAGACGGGUGUGUUCACAGUCCCUAGUGAGAUUGGGUCAGGAUUUACUUUUCUACAGAUUGUCAGUGUUAGAGCAUGAUAGUAUAGUGGCAUUUAGCUGUAGAUUUGUUCCAGCUUUCCUUGCUAUCCCUACUUACUUCUGUAGACUUGGUGGGUGAACCGAUGAGUUUGAGGGCGGUACCCACUGAGGACUACUUCUUUUGCAGUAAUUCUCACGUCCAGUUGUUUUCCCUGUUUUUGCAGUGCCGUCGUCUUCGGCUGCUGUUAUUGCUAAUUCUAAGCGUGGCAAGGGCGUCGCGAGUUAGAGACCUUCUAAACGAGCCAAAGCUAGAGGAGUAUCAGCUACAGGUAGUUGUAGUUUUUGGUCCUUUACAUACAGAUGUUGUACCUCGCCUGAGCGAGUAUUUUUGUACCAAGAUGCUAUGUAUGUAUUGAACCACUGUUUUAUAUAUGGUUUAUUUUUCUUGGCAGCUCUAUACUACUGUUUGUAGUGUUGUAUGAUUACAGGUACUGUUCUGUUUCACUUCGUAUACAGAAAAAAUUUAUAUGUAUACGACGGGUAGGUUAGCAUGACCGGAAAAACGAGUAAUCCGAGGCGUGACAUGUUUUGGAUGAUACAAUAGCUCAUUUUCGAUGGUCCAACUAUGCUGGAGCCAAUGGCAUUGAUAGAUUGUAUGUUUGACAUACAGUUUUCAAGAAAAACAGCAUUUAUCGCUGGGAGGGCUUUUAUUCUGGGUUGUUCUUGCUUUUCAGAAGUGAUCGGUGCUCCGUUUUGAGAGAAAACUCGCGAGCAGGGACCUUUCUGCGAGAGAAACGUAAUGGAAAGGGACUAAAAUACAAAUUUUGAGAGUUGGGGGACCUUGGAGCUAUUAUUCUCCAAGAAUAUUGGAUUUUAAGUUUUGAAUUAAGGUAGGAUUUGGGAAUUUUGAAUUAAGGUGCGAUCGUCUAGCUGUAGCUAGGAAUUCGGGAGAACUCCCAAUCAUACUCCCUCACCGAACAGUUUCCUUACCAUAGCUUCCAGAACUCGUCCUGAAGCUUUCUCUUUUCACUGUCGGGGAGAUAAGCAGAUGUUACUAAUCUCCGUAACUCUUCCCAAGUUAUAGGAGGAAGACAGGGCAAUAGGUCCCGCCUGACAUCCUUCCAUCACACCUUUGCCGACUGUUCCACAUAAUGCGCGGCUAGGAGGACCUUGUCCCGCUCCAAGGUAUAUAAUCCUCAAAGAGAGUUUCCAUAGAGUCGAUCCACUCUUCCACGAUCCAUGGAUCCGCAUUCUCUCCAUCAAAGGUAAGUAGAUUAAACUUCCCGAAGGUCAAGAGGGCCGCUAAAGCUCGCUCCCUCACUGCCUCCGGCACCUCAUUAUCGGGAAUCGGACAGCCCGACCCCGACGGAAAAGUCUCUGCUGCAACUCCCGGCCGAACACUACAGGCCGCAACUAGUUCGAUCACCAGCUGAACCACAAUUUCUUGGAGUCUCUCGACCCACUCCCUAAUCUGCUCAUCGCGACACAGCUCUACUCUAACGAGCACAGCCAACUGUCCACAGAGUUCCAUAACUCCGCUCGCAGCGAAUCACUUGGGUCACGCCGACCCCGUACGUUCACACCCCACCAGAGGUCACCCGAACGAUACCAUGACUUAGGUCAAAUCCUCGGCCUUCUAGGUCAUACGCAAAACGGCUUCCAAUACUUCACUAAAUUAGGCGAAAGUUACACAAGGGAGCCUAUUCUCAUCACUAGGUUUCAUGUUGUACACGCCCAACAUGAACACACUCGGCUGAGAAUAAACCGCACCUUGAAUCUACCUCUAACAUCUACUAGAGACAUUCUCACAACUAUACCCAAUUGACUUAACUUCCGCCACAAGUCGUAGGUCAGCGUCACUUACGCAUCUACGUCCUUAUGGUUACCGUCCUAGGAUCUCCUAAGUCCAUCCUAGAUUUCUCUCUUCUACAUGCUUUGAUACCACGCUCUGUCACGCACCACGCCCCGCAACCGCCUAUUUGGUCGGUUCGGGCGCGCGGGCGGACUGUCGAACGGACAAAGUUACCCCUGUCCACCCAAGGCUCAACAAACAUCAUGUACAUCUAGUUUGCCCAGGUAAAACAUGAUCAACAUAUAUGAACUGCGUGAGAAUAACACAACAAGAGCAAGAGAGAAAUACUAGUUAUUACAUUCCACAUCUGAUUAUAUACAUUCAUCCACCAAAAUACAUCUAUUUUGUUUACAUGUUUUGUUUUAUGAUACAUAUACAUCUCUCUAAAAGUAACCUCGCUUACAAUACAUCACAUCUCUCAAUAGGUAUAUUGUAAGGAAGUAAAUUCUCGAAAUACGAGAGUUGGACUUCGGUUAGAAUUAACUGAUUGUCGACUUGGUGUGCUUUGGAAAAGCCGAAGGCAUCAAAAUGGCCAAAGGUGCAUUGGAAUGGAGUCCGCGAGAGCAAAUGAUGUGAAAAACCUGCAUUUGGCAGAUUUGCUCUCGGGGACUGGUCCCUGACGGGAGGGACCGGUUCCUGAACAUAGUCUGCGCAGGUUUGCUCUCGGGGACUGGUCCCUGGCAGGGAGAGACCGAUCCCAUCGGUUGGUGGUUGCGUCGACGCGUGAUGCAGCCGGUCCCCGCGCCAGAGGGACUGGUUCCCGAAUGCGCAGAUUUGGGGAGGUCCUGAGCGACCGGUCCCUAGUAGGGAGAGACCGGUCCCCGUAGCCCGAAAUUGCCCAAGAUGGGCUGUGUCUUGAAGGCAAAGUUGAGGGGUUUUUAUGCAAUUGUAGCAUAAGUGAAGGCUAUAUGAGAGCUCUCUCUCUCUCUCUCCUCUCAUUUUCUCAACCCUAAACCUAAACCUAAGCCUCUCUCUCUCUAAUCUCUCUUCCUCUCUCUCUAGAAGGUGAAGAAGAGAAGGGAUUUGGUGGAGAAGCAAGCAAGAAGAGGGAUUUUCAUCAUCUUCUUCUUCCUCUACACCUUGGAGCUAGCUUUUGGAGGUAAGCUUGAAGGUCAAUCAUGGUGAACUUCUAGGGUUUGGACUUUAUACUCUAGAAUUGGUUUAAAUGGAACCCUAGCAUGCUAAGGAGAUGCUUUAUGCAUGGGUUUGAGGAUUUAGAGUUUGAUUCUUGCAUGAUUGCAAGUUAGGGCUCCAAAAUGGGGGUUUUGUGAUUUGUAGGGUAUUGAUCUAAAUUGAUCAAGUGUAAACCUAAUUGCUAGGUGUUUAAAUGCGUUCGCGAAGACGGUUCGACGAUUCGUCGAGCGGGUGCAAAGUUAUCGGCGAAAGGGAACUUUCGAGUUUCGUUUCCGCCUAGGAGGUCGAGACAACAUCGUAAAUCGGUGAACUUCAUUCCUAGAGUUGUGACAAUGCCAGAAGGUAGGUGGUGUCAUCCCGAAGCAAACGGGCUCUUCUUUAUGUUUUAGUGCAUUUUAAAUCUUGCAUCUCUUGCAUAUAUGCAUUGUAGGAUAAAUGUGCAUUUUCAUUUCCUUAUGCUUUCCUAGAUGAUAUCAUAGUGUGAGUUGAAUGCUUGAUAUAGUGGAUAGAUAAGGAUUGGGUCGAGACAUCGAAUCCUAUAGUGCUGAGAUAAGAGAUGGACUCGAUGGUUGAUAAGACAUAACGAGUGGCAUGUAAAUAACAAUGACAACAGAACGAGUGGCAUAUAACUUAGUGUAAAAAUGACACUUGACAUGUGAACUUAGGGAUAGGUGAAUUCCCUAGUGAUGAGUCAUUGAAUAAGAACUUAGUUUAGUUAAACACUUGCAUAUGGACAUUGGGAUAGGUGGAUUCCCGAGUGACUGUUAGCCCUAGUGGAUAGGGUAUCCUCGAGUUGAGAGGAUUGGAUCAUACUUACUAUCUAUUCAGAGCUUGUGGUGGUCGCUCCACACAAGCGUGCGCUCCGGAGUUUUGUCACUUGAGUGAUAGCCUUAUGGGGUCCCGCAGACGGUCUCGGGUUUGUGAACGAGUUGAGUUUCCUUACCAUGAGAUGCAUGUGAGUCGUGGGCGAACCUCAGGGUUGGCCAAGGAUUGGAUAAGUCAAGAAAAUUGGUGAACAAAUAGACAAGUAAAUAAUAUUACAUUACUUCUUGGAUAUAGUGGCAUGUCAGUUGAUUACUUAUCACAUUGUGCAUGCAUGCAUUGGAUAUGAUUUGGGCAUAAUAGUAUAGCUUUCUUACUACGUCGUUACUGCUUUCACAGAUCUAUCUAUCUAUCUGCUUGUGCCCACUUGGACCUAGUAGGGAGAUCGGCGGAGUCGGCGCCCGAACCCACUGGGAACUAUGGACAAUAAUUCUCACCCCACUUUAUUGCAGGGCUGAGUACGAGUGCUCCGGGAGAGGAUCGCGGUAAGAGCUUAGCGCCCUAGCAUUAGUAUCCCUCCAGUUGCAUUAGAGGUACCUACUUAUAUGAGAGUAGAUGAUGUAUAGGUUGUGAGAUGCAUUUUGGAGAGAUAUGAAUAAACUUGUACCUAUAUUUUGGAUGAAACAAAAAUGUAAAUUGUAUAAAUAUACAAAUCAUGAUGUAAUAGAUAGAACUCUCUCUUUUCGCACUUGUAUGGAUACUUGUGUUACUUGCUCUUGUUGUGAAGCACUAGUGGUGCUUCUUUUGUCGUUGUAUGAAUCAUGUAUGUAUUGAAUUGUUCCUAGGCGAAUUCUUGUACAUGAUCCCGUGCUUGACCCUUGGGCGGACAGGGGAGGUGUUGUCCGUUCGGCAUCUGUUCGACGUGCCCUAACCAGACCAAAUGGGUAGCGGUCUCGGGGCGUGACAUAUAUUGUAACACAGUGGACCUUUGCAAAUUGCGAGGUACGAGUGUUUGAUUGGUGUUCCGAGCUUUUCCACACUUUGUGUAGGGUCGUAGACAGUGUUCCGACCUAUGGUUCGAAUCCCGAGAAGUGUGUAAGAAAAUCAUGUGUACGCGGCGGAAGAAAAUAACACAAUUAAAAAUUUUCUUGAAAACCAAAGAUCACCUCGUGUUUCGUUUUAGAUCAUUAAUAAUAGAUCUAAUUGAUCUAAUCAAAUAGGAUCUAUAUCAUNGAUACUUUCGCUCACAAGUCAAUUAGACCCCGUCUCUCACGAGCCUAAGUCCUAUAGUCCAACCGGCCUAAGGUUCGCUAGGUCCACUAAGACUCAACCCUAGGCUCUGAUACCAAAUUAAUCCGUCACGCCCCGGGACCGGCGGAGGCCCUCUCGGUAGCGUGCCCAGACCCGCCAUAUGUCUACACAUAUAAGGCGUCUACACUAAAAGCGGAAGUAAAAGCAAGUAAAAGAACAAAUAGCAGAAGUGAAAUAACUAGCAACUAAUGAUAUCAGAGCGAGUAAAGUUCUAGCAUCUACACCAAUAGUAAUAGAACAAAUCUAAAACAUGAAAGGUAAACAUAAGUUAUACAGUAACAGCUUCUAAUACAAAAAUGGUGGUCUCUAGUGCACUGGUAAAACUCUCAACCUCUCCCAAAAUAAAGUACAACGAGAGGUAGACCACCUAGCGAAUCGUCCUCAAGGGAAGCUAGCUCGAAGCAACUCCCUUCCCGCGGACCCUGGCCUCACCCUGAGUGGAAGGCUCUGAAAAACAUCGAGAAAAAGAGGGCGUGAGAACUAUAAUUUAUAGUUCCCAGUGGGCAAUUACUGACCUCAGCUCAAUGCACCACUAGGCCCCAAAAGAAAAGGGUAAGUACAAUAAUGAUAGCAAUAUAAAGGCAUAAUAUAACGCUAACUCACUAAACUCCAGUAUAACGAUGUCAUGGUGAUGUACAUCUACAAUAUCAAGAUACUAUGUCUCAUGGUAAUAGUUCAAUGUCAAUAACCUUUAUCAAUGCAUGAUGCAUAAGCUCUAUCAUGGCAACCGAGUAUGCUCUAAUGCAACAGGAGACUAUCCAAUAUACUACAUGUCUCAACAUUACGCUAAAAGCAUAUAAAUGUAAUCCAACUACUAAACCUAUCUAGUAGUGAUUAACCAUUCUCAACCCCGUAUCGAUUUCCAUUUCUAAUCAAGGACCCACCAAAGGUAGUCCAGCUUGUGCCGCCUAAGUGCCUGUGGUAGCCCGACAUCCCUACUCUUGGAAUGUGUCUGUCCCACUCGACCCCGUAGGCUUCUCAAUACCGCACGAGCGAGCACAUAAGUCGGCGUAGGCUAACUCCGGGUGCCGGCUUGUAGGGAGCGCGACCCCUCACAACAUGUGCGAAUGAGCACAAAUGGCAAGCAGCAUAGCAAGUCUUCAAGUACGUCCUCAUGUCUCUAACAUUGUAUAGCCACUAGCAUCCCGAAGAUCUAGUUCAAGUCACAAGUGAUGUUUCAACAUUUGCUAUGCCUAUGCCUUAAUGACACUUAGGCAAUUUAAUGUCAAAUGUUUUCAAACUCCUCAAUGGCCCUAUCCACUAGGUUCACACGCGUCCCGAGCUCAAUGCCGCUUGAUGACAUUAGCUCCUAUUCACAUAUUUCUAAAUGACAAUCUUGUCAAUUUUCAUGUCACAAGUAAACUUAGGUUUAAAUGCAUGAAUCCGAACUCAUUUAUACUAUAGAAGCAUGAUACCACGUCUCAUAUAAGAAUGCCGAAUGCACUAUGGCCUAAUAACUACUCUCUACUACAUAGAGGUACAAAAUUUCAUCAUAAAUAACAUAGGCCUUUUUAAGCAUUCUAAAAUUCACAAUAAAUACAUAUAACAAGAAAAUGCAUGCUUUUUCAUUUAAACAACACUUAAUUAAGCACAAAUGAAGAUUUCUCAUUGUGGCUAGGUAAACCCACCGAAACCGUCGCGUAGGGCCUCGUUUCGCCGAACCAAGUUGUCCGACCGAGACUAAAAAUACCCUAAAAUAAUCAGCGAAGAGAUACGAGGGCAUUACGACCAUUAAAUAAGAUCAAACCAUAUCUAGAAGCAAAAGGGCCAAAUUUACCUCAAAGUAGAAAACUCUUCCAAAGCUCAAAAGAAGAGCUAGAACCCUUCCAAUCCAAGCCCUAGAAGGUUCUAAACCAAUCAAUCUAGCCCAAAAAGCCCUAGAUCAAAAAAGCCCCAAAAAUUAACCCAAUACCCAUUCUAGGGUUUCAACACAAGAAAAAUCUCAAAUCCAACGUUUAGAUGGAGAGAAAGGCUACCAACCUCAAAGAAGCUUCAAUCCAAGCUCAAAGGGUGAAGAUCUUCUCCUUUGCAAGCUCCAACCCAAGCCUUCAGCACCAAGGAAGAAGAGGGAUGAGGAAGAUGCUCCAAAGCCUUCAAAAGCCCUCAAUCUUCUUCUCCUCCUUCUCGUCUUCUCCUUCUCCUUCUUCUUCUUCUCUUCUCUAUCAGGGUGUAGAGAGGUUGAGAGGAGAGAAAUGAGGAAAGAGAGAAGGGAUGGGUCAUAUAGACCCUCUAUUGCAACAAAAUCCAAGAGGCCCCUCUAAAAUCCAAUAUUGCAUCAGCACCGAACUGGGCAGUUUUCGCCAGAGGCACCAGUCUCCGUCCCAGCAGGACCGUCUCUCGCUGCGACCCGAAAACACAGCGUCGGAACCGGUCUCCUCCUGCGCGGGACCGGUCUCUCACUGCGAACCGCGCUUCGGCGGAAAACGGCGGGCUCGCUGCCAGGGACGGUUGCUCAGGCUGCCUCAGCACUACUCACUGGGGAACUGUCUCUCCUUCCAGGACCGGUCCCCGAGAGUAAAAAACCUCUAGGAGACUUGUCCAGAGCUCACAGAUUUUGAACUUUUCGGUCGGGAAACACUUACAAACCCUCCACCAAGUGUGGAAAAGCUCGAAGUACAUCCAAGCACUCGAACCUCGCAAUUUGCAAAGGUCCAGUGUGUUACAUUAGACUAGAUGACAUGUGAAAUUGUGAUCAUAAUGUCAUAAACAGCGAAUUGAGCCUCGUUGUAUGUAAACCUACAGUGGAUGGCCCAUUGAGAGAAAUGGAACAUGCUUGUACACUCGAAAUGUCUAAUGUCAUAAAGGGCAUAAACUUAGUAAAAUAUUUGAACUUCACAUUGUAACCUAAAAGAGCUAAGAUUAAAAUCAUUGAGGAUGCUAAUACUAUUACCAUGUUAGAGACAUAUGAUGGUACUUAGACGAUGAUUACGCUUGUUUGCCAUUUGUGCUCAUUCGCACAUGCUUGUGAGGGUCGCUCCCUACAAGCCGGCACUCCGGAGUUGGCCUACACGACUUAUGCUCGCUCGUGCGGUAUCGAGAAACCUACGGGGUCCGGAGGGAUAGACUCAUUCCUANUAGAGUGGGAAUGCUGGAGCUACCACCGACACUUAGGUGGCACAAGCUAGACUACACUAUGUAGGUCCUAGAACAUGUUGGAAAUAAUGACAUUGAACCGGAAAAUGACUAUCACUACUAGAUAGGCUUAGUAGUUUGAUUACCUUGACAUGCUUAUACCAUAGUGUUGGGACUUGUAGAAUACAUGAUAGUCUUAUUUGUUGCAUCAUAGUAUACUUUGCUGCCAUGAUAGAGCAUAUUCAUCAUACAUUGAUAUAGUGGUUCAUGAUACCUACUUGCUCGUUAUGUUGGGACAUAUUAGUCAUGCUUGGACAUACUUCAUUUUGAUAAAGUAGAUGUACAACAUAUUUGACAUCAUGUUUAUUUGCGGCAUAGUAGUUUAGCAUUUUAAUCAUACUUCCAUAAAUGCAAUCCAUUUAUUAUUAUUGUUGCUUUUUGGACUUACCCUUUUCUUUUAGGACCUAGUGGUGCAUUGAGCUGAGGUCAGUAAUUGCCCACUGGGAACUAUAAAUUAUAGUUCUCACGCCCUCUUUUUCUUGAUGUUACUUCAGAGCCUUCCACGCCGGGAGAGACUAAGGACCGCGAAAAGAGUAUCGCCUCGAGUUAGCUUGGCUUCGAGGGACGCGUUGAUAGGUGGUCUACCUCUCGUUGUUUUCUUUUUGGAGAGGUUGAGAGCUGUACCAGUAUAAUAGAGACCACCUAUUUUGUGUACUUUUGAGAUGGUUAUUGUAUUACUUUAUGUUUCCUCUUUAUUAUUUAGUUUUGUUCCUACUUCUUUUAGCAUAGAUUAUAAUUGUAUACUUGCUCUGAUAUCUCUAGUUGUAGAUCAUCUUUUGCUUUAUUUUCGCUGUUGUUGUAGACACCUUAUAUGUGUAGACAUAUGGCGGGUCUGGGCGCGCUACCGGGAGGGCCUCUACCGGUCCCGGGGAGUGACAUAUAUGGUACUCUAAUGCACAGGAGGCUACUAUCUAGGGCGCUAUGCCCUUACCGCGAUCCUCAACCGCUUCGCUCGUACUAGGCCCUGCAGCAAAGUGGGAUGAGAACUAAUAAAAAUUUUCAGUGGGUUUUGCCGCCGACCCGGCUGAUUUUUCCACUAGGUCUAAGCAGGCAUAAGUAGAGAUAUAAACAUAGUAAUGAAAUCUGCUAACAUAAUAAUAAAAUCUGCUAACAAGCUACUAUACCUCAACAACAUGAUAUGAAUGAAAUAUCCACUAUACUCAUGAUGCAUGCCAUUCAUACACUUGUCACCCAAUCAUCUUGGCUAAACAUAAGGUUAAGCCCCAACUCACAACCAAAUCUCAAAGGUGAGGAGACUCUCCGCUGCGCACACCCGAGACCGUCUGCUGGGUAGGUACGUUAACCCAUCGUGUGACAACUCCGGAGCUCACUACUUAGGUGGAGCGAUCACCGCCAAGCUAAAACAGACUAAGUGAGUAUAUCUAAUCCUCUCAACUCGAGGAUACCUUACCAACUAGGGAUAACAAUACACUCGGAAAUCCACCAAUCCCAAUAUUCAUGUCAUAAGUGUCACCACUAUACUAGUUCCACUACACUAGUUCCAAAUGCCACUCUUUUUAUGUCAUUACAUUGUUCAAGUUCACCACUUGUUCUUAGAACUAUAGGAUUCCAUGUCAACACCCAAUCCUCAUGCAUCCGUUAGAUCAUGUGUUCAACUCACAAUUCUAUUUCUAUUUCUAUCAUGGAAGCAUGCAAGGAAUUGAAUUAUAUUUAACCACAUAUCUUACAAUGCAUGAUAUCAACAUAUGAGUAUAGAUGCAAAACAAUAACAACUUAGACGUAAAAGGAAAUCCGAUUGUUUCGGAUAGCACCCCCUACCUCGUGUCGACGCCACGAAGCGGGAAAGCCAAGCUGCGCAAUUUAUCGUCAUCGAUUUCUCCCGACUACGGCAAACGAAGCCAAAACGGCCAUUUCUUCAAAUUGACCACCGUAAGCUCAACGAAACCUCAAUCCAAGCGAUCCACCGCGUCACCUUUACCUUCAAUCGUGGAAUUAAGGAACGAAUUAAGAUCAAAACCCAUCAUGGUCAAAAACCCUCUUUUGAAACCCUAGAAACCCAUAUAUUGCUUAUAAUCCAAAUCUCAUCAUGAUUCUUGCAAUAAUCAAGGUUAGAAUCAUAUAGGGUUUCCAAUUAAACUCGUUUCUAAGGUUUCUACACAAAACCCUAACCAUAAGCCCUCAAAUUCUAUAAAACUCACCUCAAACCCAACCUCUCCUCCUAGCUUAGCCUUCACAAGAGAGUUGCUUCACCACUAAGCAAGCUUUUCUCCUCCAAAUCUCCACUAUUGGAGAAACCCUAGAGAGAGGAAGAGAGGGAGAGGUUGAGAGAGAGAGAGAGAGAGGUUCUUCUCUUUUGUUCCAAGUGGAGGGGAAUGAGAGAAAUGAGAUCAAAACCCUCAUAUAAACACUCCCCUUGCACAAUUGCACUAAGGCCCCUCACCAAAUGGCACUUUUGCUUAAUUUCACGUUUUCCCGUGUACGGGGUCCGGACCCCGAGAGCAUUCCGAACACGAAAAUUUUAGAAAAUCUCAAAUCUUGCUCUCCAAGGUCCUUUUUGGUCCCUUAUACCUUUAUGAGUCAUUCUGAUCACUCGAAACACUCAACGGACCUCUCUAAAGCGUCCAUUACCUCACUUUGGUCAAUUUGACUAAAGUUCAGUUUUGCGCAUCGGGGAUUCGGUACACUACACACGGUCGAAUCCAAAGCUCUACGGAUAGCUUUCUUUGUCGUGGAUGUAGAUAGUCACUAUAACCUACUUCUUGAGCGUGUUUGGAUUCACGCAAACAAAUGUUUGCCAUCCACUCUACAUGGGAAGCUUUUCCAAUGGAUCGGAAAUCGCAUAGAGGAAAUCAGGGCCGAGGGACGGCCUCAGAUGGUAGACAUUAAUGCAAAAGAAAUUGACCAUAUCAAUUGGGCCGACAUUGACUGAGAUCAAAUUUCGUUCGUACAGGUCACCGAAGGAGUCAAACUAAUGCUCAUGAAAGACGAAGAAGCAUUGGUGGCGGCAAAAGAGCCACUGAAUUGGUUAAGAUGGAACGUCAAAAGUCAGGAACCGAAUCUCUAGAUGAGUUCCAGCAAAAUAAGCCAACUAAAAGGGUCGGCCUGUAAGAAAAUCAUGUAUACGUAGCGGAAGAAAAUAACACAAUUAAAAUUUUCUAAAACCAAAGAUCACCUCGUGUUUCGUUUUAGAUCAUUAAUAAUUGAUCUAAUUGAUCUAAUCAAUUAGGAUCUAGUUUUUCACCUUGCACGGGUUGAGAUCACCACGAGGUCGACAAUCGUUGUUAAAAUUUGUUCGUCCUCGCUUAGCCGCGCACGCGCCUGGCCUCUACUCGCGUCCACAUGAAAUCACGCCCUUAAUUGAAUUAGACAACCGCUUCGAUCCGUGAUCCGAUCACGAAUUAACUCUUGCGUCGAUUUGAGGAAGAUGAAUCAAUCUUCUAGAUAUGCUCGCAACCUUUUGAAGAUCGAAACCAAUGGAUUAAUUGUGGAGAACUUGAGGAAGAGAGAGAGGAUUGAUGGCUAGGGUUUUCUAUUUCUCUUGUAUAAUUAAUUUUAAUAUGUCAUAUAAUAUAUAUUUAUAAUGAGAAAAUCCUAAGCCUAAUCCUAAUCCUAAUCGAAAUCCUAGUCCGAUUGGAUUAUCCAUUAACCCACAAGUUAGUUAUAAUAUUAACCGAAUCCGAAUCCUAAUUCUAAUUCGAUUCGUGUGUAACAUUUACACAUAAGUCUUCAUAUUAUUUACUAAUGAUUAGUAAAUACACCAUGCAACUUUUACACAUAAAUAUCUCUAAUUUACAAUAAUUGCAAAUUAGUCCUUUUACUAAUAAAUUAGUAAACUUUAGUAUUUAACUAUAUUAUAAUUGCAAUUAACCCAUCUGANGAUAAACUUCUUUUAUCGUCUCCUUAACAUCGAUCAUGCGUGAUUUCUUAUGUGUGUGACCUAAUAGGUUCAAUUCUGUCUGGUAGUGAGAUAUGAUGCGAUCCCCAUCUACAUCAUCAUCGAAACUCCUUUCGAUGGCUCAAACUCUUUUGAUUCUACCCUUAUAGAAUAAUUAAUUAUUAAUAAUUAUUUCUAUUGGUUCCCACAAUCUACCAGUGACGCCUAGCAGCAUGUGAUGGCAAUCCGAUCAGAAGUGAAUAUCGGACUGAACCUCUAGGUGCAGUUGCCGUACAAUACAAUCCUUCUAUCGUAUAGUCCCAACUGAGUGGAGGUCAUGGAAUACUCGUCAAACCCGACAAAUUUGAUAGGACAGAAGCUUUUAUGGUUACUCUUGGAAAUCUUUUUUCAUACACCAUAUUACAUCGGCCGAGGAUUUCUGAGCUUUGCCUUACAAAUAGCAUAGAACUAAUUAUCUCUCUACCGAGAGCGAUAGAUCCCAUAUAAAAACACACCCAUUCCUGAUAUGAACCGACUGUAGCCAACAUAUACUACUAAGACCCAUGGCUAGGAUCAAAGUUUGUUGCAUAGUCAAACUACAGUAGCCUCACAUUGAAUGGCCGUGGUGUCGCAGAUCUAAGGAUCAGUUGUACCACUGCAACAUCGAACCAGUUACUGACGAAUGAGCAGACAUUCAUAUAACUGUUCGUAGUUGGUCACGCUCAGUACCCUUGUUCUCCAACAACCACUUGCAUGUUCGCUCCAGUGUCCCCACACUAAUGACUCGAGAUUCGUCAUCCCAAAAGAGAAGCGACACACACAUCAAUCUUACCGGAUCAAUCAUCGUCCCGAUGAUGAUCCACCGAUUGAGAGCAUUUAGGAAUUAAUCACCAAUAAUAUGUAUCUCAAAUUCUCAACUCUUAAAAAUACAUAUUAUUAUCUUAUUAAUUCAAAGGACGGUUCACGGACACAUUAAACAUGAAUGGAAUAAAAAAGGACCCAAUUAUAUAAAUAAUAAAGAUUAAGUACAAAUAUAUGUUCCAUAGAAAAUAAAAUACGUCAGCCUGAUAGGCUUCUAGGGCAUACAACUGACACGGCCAUCUCAUCAAAUUGGCUGAUUUGGCUGAUAAAAUAUCAUGUAUUGAAUCAGCCAAGAUGACUGAGGAAAGAUCACCUAAUAAGUCGGCCAUAUUGGUCGAUGAAAAGACAUUUGAAGAAAUCUCAAAUACUACAGUCGACUCAAAUAAAAAUGGUACGGCUCACAAAACGAAAUCUGGUAAAAUUGGCGCUAAAAUCCAUAAAAUCACAAAGGAAUUUAUGGAAGAAUCGCCGACCAAAGUCGGCGAGAAAAAACUGGAGACUGAAAAUCUCUUUAUAAAAUUAAGUAAAUCCAAGAUCGGAGGAAGACAGACGAACAACGUACAUUAGCGCAAAGCUUUCAGCUCAGAACAGGAGAAGCUGACGAAGUUGUUGAUAAAUACAAAGAUUGCUUCACCUAAAAUUAUGAAGAAAUGUCAGGAUUGAGCCAAGAAAUUGUAGAACAUAGGCUUCCUAUCAAAAAGGGAUAUAGGCCUUAUAAAUAGCCGGCUCGUAGGUUUGAGCCAAGUAUUGUACUUCAAAUUAAGAAUGAAAUAGAAAUUCUUUUGAAGGUCAGAUUUAUUAAAGCGGUCCGUUAUGUUGAUUGUGUUACUAAUAUAGUUCUAGUACGAAAAAAGAAUGACAAACUUAGAGUUUGCAUUGAUUUUAGAAACUUAAAUUUAGCCACACCUAAAGAUGAAUAUUCGAUGCCUAUAGUUGACAUGUUAGUGGAUUCGGCAGCCGAGCAUGAAAUUCUGUCCUUUAUGGGUUGACAUGCAAGCUAUGACCAAAUUUUUAUCACCGAGGAAGAUAUAGCUAAAAUGGCUUUCAGAUGCCCAGGAUCUAUUGAAACCUUUGAAUGGGUAAUAAUGCCAUUCGAUUUAAAGAAUGCCAGAGCAACUUAUCAAAGGGCGAUGAAUUUUAUUUUUUAUGAUUUGAUAGGUAAAAUAUUAGAAGUUUACAUCAAUGACAUUGUGGUAAAAUUCAAAUCACAAGCUAAUCAUUGGGCAAAUUUAGGACUUGCCUUUGGACGAAUGAGAAAAUUUAAUUUAAAAAUGAAUCCUUUGAAGUGUGCUUUUGGAGUAUCAGCAAGAUAUUUCCUCGAAUUUCUAGUACACAAAAAAGGAAUUAAGAUAGAUAAAAAUAAGGCCAAAGGUAUUAUGGAAUUAUCGCCGCCAAAAAAUUAAAAAGAGUUACAAAGUUUGCUGGGAAAAAAUAAUUAUCUGCGGCGUUUCAUAUCAAAUCUAGCUAGUAGAAUUAGAGUAUUUACUCCAUUGCUUCGGCUGAAGAAUUAAGAGGAGUUCAUUUGGACAGAUGAACAACAAAAAGCGUUUGAAAACAUAAAAAGAUAUUUAGCAAAUCCUCCAAUCCUCAUGCCUUCUCGCCAAGAUCAGCCAUUAAAGUUAUAUAUGUUGGCUGCAGAAGAGAAUCUAGGAUGUUUAUUGGCAUAGGAAAAUAGUAAAAGAGAAGAACAAGCUAUUUAUUAUCUCAGCCGGCGCUUACUCGAUGCCGAAAAACGUUAUUCGACAAUAGAAAAGAUGUGUCUGUCGUUAUAUUAUGCAUGUACUAAGCUAAGAUAUUACAUUUUACCAGUAGAAGUAUCAGUUGUCUAUAAAACUAACUUGGUAAAUUAAGUAUAUGUUAUCCAAACCUGUACUAAGAGAACAGAUCGGAUGAUGGAUGUUAGUAUUGUUCGAAUUUUCUUUUAAUUAUGUCCCAACAAAAGUAGUCAAAGGGCAAGCAAUAGCAGAUUUCCUGACUGGUCAUCUAUGUGUCGAGAUUGAGGAACCAAUACAGAUCUUGGUCCAUUGUCAACCUUGGAUACUCUGUUUUGAUGGAUCAAAAACAACCAAAUCAGCAGGGGCCGGAAUAGUUAUACGGUCUCCUGAAGGCUACAUCUACCAAUUUGCUUUUGAAUUGGAUUUCGAUUGUUCCAAUAAUCAAGCUGAAUAUGAGGCCUUAAUAAUCCGCCUUGAAAUCUUACAAGAAAGCACGUUCACUUAAAGUUAUUGGUGAUUCACAAUUAGUAAUCAAAUAGGUAAAUGGGGAAUACCUGUGUGAAAACCGAAAUCAACAGAAUUAUUUGAUAAAAACAAUAGAGUUACUUUGUAGUUUCGGUGAAGCAGAGAUCGUGCAUCUAUCAAGGGAAGAAAAUAAGCAAGCCAAUGAUUUGGCUCAAUUGGCUUCAGGAUACAGGGAGCCAAAAGGGAAUCAAGUAGAAAUAGAAAGGAGAUUGUUACCAUCGAUUCAUAUACGCGAACCGAUGAUGAUUGCUCUGGUCGAAACAUAGGAAGACUGGAGAAAACCUUUAAUUGAGUUCCUAAACGACCUUAACAAGCGGGUCGAAUAUUAUAUUCAGAAAAGAGCACUCGGAUAUUGUUUGUUAAAUGGACAACUUUAUAAGAGAAUAGCCGAGGAAGUAUUAUUGAAGCGUUUAGGACCCGAGAAAGCUUUGCUAGUUACGGGCGAAGCUCAUGAAGGCUUGUGCGGAGCACACUUAGCCAGAAAGAGAUUAAGAUGGAUAGCCCGACACAUUAGGGUAUUACUGGCCAACUAUGCACGAGGAUUGCAUAAAAUACGCCAGAGGAUGUUAAGAGUGUCAAUUUCAUAGCUCGGUGCAAAGGGUCCCUGCUUCCAAAAUGCAUGCAAUCAUUAAACCUGGGUCUUUUCGAGGUUGGGCCUUGAACUUACUUUGGAAAUUCAGCUGAACUCAUCGGCUGAGCAUAAAUUCCUAGUAGUGGCCGUAGACUAUUUCACCAAGUACCAUAUCCGCUGCGUGAAUUUUAGCUUCAUCAGCCGAAUCCUUUGUUUCGUCAAAGUUGCUCGGCUCAUCUUGAGCCGAGGAUUCCUUAAUAAAAGAGACAAUCUUCUCUUUUUCUUUAUUCCAAUCUUUGUUUCGAUUCCAUCUUGGCCAAUCUUCAUUAUUAUUGCCUUUUCUUUGAGCAACCCAAACACCCAAAUCAAAUAGAUUCAAAAAAUAUUUAUCUUCAAAAUGGUCUUUUAUCUUGAAAUGCAGACCAUUGAAUGUCAUCUUAGCUAAUCUAACUCUAGCAUCCUAACAAAACAACGGCUCCUUGCUGUUUUGAAUUAGUUUAAAUAUUCUUCAACAGACUCUCCCGACUUUCUCCAGAACUGAGCUAGAUCAGCCACCGAAAGUUCUGGUUUUAAUUUAUAAAACUGCUCAUGAAAUUUUCUUUCCAAUUCAUCCUAAUCUCGGACGGAAUUGGCUGGUAGGCUUGUAUACCAAGUGAAUGCAGUCUUGGUUAAUAAAGUAUUAAAUAAUCUAAGUUUAAGGAAUGGAUUUUUGGCGGCCUCCCUACACUAGGCAGUAAAUCGUGCUACAUGCUCUAUAGUGUUUUUGGUUUCAUCACCGAAAAAUUUGUCAAAUUUUGGCAUUUUUCAGUUUGCCGGAUAAGGAUGUUCCAUAUCUAUAUUUGCAGGAUAAGGAGACCGAAAUAUAGGCCGCAUUGCCAGCCAAGCUCAUACUCUAAAAGUAUUGCGAAUGGCUUUUUGAUCUGAGCAUACAACUCAUUAUUAUUCCCUAGUGCCGGAAUCGGAGCAUGUGCUUGGGCCGAAUUCGUCCCUGAAGGAAGUCUGUAAUUCUAUAAUGCGGGAUUCGCCCCCUGCAUAACAUUAGGGAGUUGCUCUCCAGCUCUAAUUCCUCCAUUUUGGAGCUUAUAUGCCGACAAUGGUGGUGGAGGAGGUAAUCCCCAAGCCACUUCAGACUGUUGACCGGCAUUUAGAGUCGCCAGUCUAUAAGCAGCUUGGAAGGGUGCCAUCUGAGGCUGCGUGUUUACCGGUGUCACUAGUUUUGCAAUACCGGUAUACUCAAAGGCCCUUGUAGACCUACCGUAGGUUGUUCAUUUUGUGUUAACAAUUGCCCAAUUCGGGCAAUAUUCUCGUUAGAAGCCGUGAUCGCGGCUAAAACUGCAUCUAACCGAGCGGUGCUCCUGUGACUAUUUUGGUCUAAAACCUGUAAGACCUGUGUCAUCUAACCAAGCACCUGAGCCAGACUUGGUUCUUGCUGGUCUGAUUGACCACUAGUCUCACCCUCGAUCGGUAAGACUACAUGACGCUCGUUUGCGUUUUCGGUAUUAGUGCCUUGGUGAUCGUUCCCAGAAUUUCGUGGAAUGACCAUGUUGCGGAGAUUCAUGGCAUUAUCAUCAGCCAUAGUUUUUAAUAGAUGAUAUACGAAUUUACCUGGAUGAGCAUCCUACCGGGCAUGCCAAAAAUUGUUAGGAGCCGAAUCCCCUUAUUUUUGACCUGGUCAAAGAUUUUCCUAGAGAAACGCAUAGCGAUGUGAAACGGCUACAUGUGGUGACUCUCGAAGUUUGCGCCCUUCGACAGAUCAAACGAUUCGGCUAAUGAGAGAUUGGAUCAGCCGAGUUCGUACCCCUUACUACAGAUCGGUUUGGCUGAAUGAGUCGAAUAAGGUAUUGCACAGUAUUUUUGGGUCAGCCGAAGAGCCAAAUGCCUUUGUAUAUUGACUUAAAACUUGGAACACGUACAAAAAGAGGAUGCCGGUACGGCGUACAAACUUAUGAAAUCUAAAAAAAUUACUCCUAAGAAAGGCAAUAAAUGCAAGAAAAAAAAGGAUUACUCCUAAAAAAAUGAGUAAAAAUGCGUAGAACUGUAGAAUUGAAAGUGAUUUUCUGUUCGCGGGAAAAAGACCCUUUUUCAGGCGUUAUCUGUUUAUUUAUGUUCUGCCUAUUGUUAUUCAGUUAUCUACAUGAUUGGCAGCUUUUCUAAUUUCGUGGGCCACUAUAGGCCGAUCCCAACAGCGUGAAGCCGUCUACAGUUUAAUUGUUGCAAUUCGUUCUUUGCUUCCGGAUUACCAAAUGUCAUUUAUCCCUAGCUUCGAAGCUCCUGACUGCGUUGUACACUGAUUCACCAUAUUGCGCUACUUUCUUGGCAUCAAUAAUAGGUAAAGCUGAUCUAUUCAACAAAAUGCAUGAUACAAGUCUAAUAAAAGUAACCGAAUAGAACAUGCCUUUAAUGACUUUGUAUCGAAGCAUCCAUAUGUAUAUUUUGCACAUAAAUCCCUCCCACCAUGAAAUCUUGUGAUUUGACAUAUAAAAUAUCAUCAUUUUUGCAAUAAAACUCAGUUUCAUCAUUUCUCUCUCAACCUUUCCGUCACUAACAUAUUAUUUUAUUCCACAAAAUUGCACAAAAGCCCCUCUUAUGACAUAUAGCAUUGUCAGACUUCUGAAGUAAUGAUUUACUUCCUUACUAACACUCUCACAAUUGACUAUAUAUAAGGCAUUUAAUUGAAAUCGCAUGAAAUCUCCCUCUCAAGAGUGAUUGAUUACACUUUUUGUCUACUAAAUAUAUAAAUUGUUUAAAAUAAAUCAAAACAGGAUACUCCUAUAUUCAAAUAAAGCCUUAAUUUGUUAUCAUAAUUGAAAAUUUUUCAUACUAAAUGAAAUAUUACUGAAUAAUUUAUUCCGACAUCCAAACACAAUCUUGAUAAGAAGGUAUCCAUAACUAUACUUACUUAUACAUGAAUUCUCAUGCCUAAAUCCUAUGUGGAUACACAUUCUUAAUUCGAGAAACAUGGGGCCCUAAAUUAUUUCUUCUCUUCUCUAAAAAACUGCAUUUAGUCUAUUUUUUCUAAUGCCGCUUUACUUUUCGUUAUUUUUACUCACAUUUACUUUCUUUUUUUUACUAUCUAUAAAAAGUUAGAUCGGAAAGAUAUUGAAACAAUUUAUUUCGUAUAUAAAAAUCACCACCCAUCCCUCCACCUUCACUCAAAUCCAUUAAUUUAGAAAAUUUUUCUUAAUUAAUUAAUUUCAAUGGCCGCACAAGCUUGGUACAUCUUUCUUUUUUACCAAAUUUUUUUGUUUAAUGAUUAAUUGAGAAAUUUGAUGAUAUGUAUUUUUUCUCUCUAAAUCAGUAUACUUUUUUUUAUGUGCAAAUUUUUUUUGUUGUUGGUUUUAUAUUAUAUAUAUGAAAGAUGUGUAAUAUUUGUACCUAAAUUUGUAUUGUAUAGUUAGUCUUAGUUUGGUAUUGAGGCCUAUCAAACGUUAUUAGAUAAAAUGAAGUUGAGGAAAAAGUAUAUAAAAAUAUACUUCUGUGUUCUCCGGUGGGACAGCAGAAAAUAUAUCGUAACCGUCGACUCAUCGCGAUAUGCGGAACGCAAUAUUACGUACGAAAACAAACAGAGUAUUUUUCCAACGUACUUUUUCACCGCACGUAACGCAAUCUCUCCGCAUGAAGCCUUAUUAUACAAAGGAAGUGCUUCCUCCUCAUCUAGUAGCUCCGAGGACGAGAAGUAUCGGCAAGGAUAUAUAUGGAGUUGCCGAGAAGGGGUUGAAGGCACUGUGGUACAUCACGAAAUUGUUGACGUCGACAGAGGAUGCUAUAAACGAGGGUGCGAAGGGGUCCAAUAUUCAUAUAACAAUUUUUUGUCUCCUAUAGUUCGUUCUGUCUUUUAUUGUUUUUUAUUGAAUUAUAAUUCUAUUAUAAAAGCUUUAAUGUGUUUUUUAUAUUGCUAAAUUCAAUCAAAUAUAGGUAUAUAUUUCUGUUUUCUUUUUAUAUUUUAUAUUUAUUUAUUUAAUCUAAAAAUUUUACUAAAUAAUUUUUUUCCAUUAUUACACUAUAUUAUAUAAUAUUAGCACUUGUGCAAAAAUCAAAAGCUUCGAAUACCAUAUCAAAUUCGAAGACAUAACACUUAAUUAUUACCAUAGUGCCAUACGAUUUGGUAAUAUGUCAUUAAUCGUUAUUAAAAGUAACUUAACUAAGGAGCAUAUCCUCCUCCACGCCCACUGCCAUGGCCAUACCCUCCUCCUGCCCCUCCACCACCACCGUAGCCUCGAUAAAAACUCGUUUGCGGGAAGAUUCAUGUUUUUAAAUCAUGUUUCUGUUCCAAAAAAUUCUUGUAAAGACCUUAGCUGUAAUUUGUGUAAGGCAUUAAUGUGGUCGAUUUGAAUGUAAUGCACUUGAUAGAAGAAGUUGUCUUGAUUGUUGAGGGUUGCUAGGCAUUUUAUUGAGUUUGUUUUCAUUCGUCUUGGCGCUGUGUUUAGAUGCAGCAGGAUCCAGUUAGGUCACUCUACUUGAUCUUCUUCUCGUAUUCUUUGGUAAUCGAGUUUGCUUUCUAGCUUAGUUUUUGACUUUGUGAUCAAUGUAUUUGAUGCUGGACGCUAGCUUGAGCUCUUUCUACUAGAGUGGAAGACCUUUAGCGCGCCCCGCUGUGGCCCCUCCAUCUUCGGCAGCCGCCCUCUGUACCGCUCUUCGGUACCCUCCUCCUCCUCCUCCUCUCGGCGGCGGCGGUGAAGCGGCCUCGAGGGGUACGCUAAUUUCUCUCUCUCUCUCUCUAUCUCUCUCUCUCUCUCUCUCUCUCCCUCUCUCCUCGAGCUUUCUCCUCUUCUCUUCCUCUCCUCUCCCACGUGUCUUGCUCUCCUCUGCUGCUGCUGAGUCAUGUAUAAAGAUGCCCAAAAAAAAAAAAAAAAAUGACUUAAAAUUCAAAUCCACCUUAUCACCUGUUUAUUAGAUACCCACUUUUACGAGCCUCUGGGAGAGUUGAUAUCGACAAGACUUUUGCCAGGUAAUUAAAAUAAAAAGGGUAACUAUCCGGAGAAGGGACAAAAAAAACACAAUUUAAGUAAUAUAUAAAAUUCAAAUAAUUUUGGUAAUUAUGCUAUCUAACGACUUUUUGAAUUAUUUUGAUUCGAGCAUAUUUAAACUUUUUUAUUUUUAAUUUUUUAUAUAGUAAAUAUAUUUUUUAUGUAGUUUCGGUAAGCCUUCAUCUGAUAUCGGCUCCCUCAGAAGGCAUCAAGGUAAAUAAAAAUAGAUGAGAUGAACCACAUUGCUAAGUCUUUUAAUUUUUAAGUUUUUGACUCUUCGGUAAAUUCAAAAUUCUUAAUCUCUCAAUUGAAUUUUAAAUCUGACUUUUUAACACUCUACUACUUUACUUUUUUUACAAUAAAUGUUCACAUCACACUAGCCACGUAAUAUUAAAAAUAAAUAGAAAAGUGUUAUAAUUUUGAAAUUUAAAGAUAAAGGAUGAUAGUCAAAAAAAAAAAAAAAAAAAUUACUAUGCCGCUGGUGGCUCUAGAUGUGUCUCAUCUAGCAGCCGUCGCAGUCUACACAUAUUCUCUGUCCUCACCACCACCACACCCUAUACCGCUCGUACCACCUCCCGUACCACCACCGCCACCAUCGCCUCCACCACUCCCAAUACCCCCAUGGCAGCCACCGCCUAUACCACCGCCGUCACCGCCGCCAUCACCACCGCCGCCGCCCAUACCGCCGCGGCCANNNCCACCGCCACCGCCACCGCCACCGCCACCGCCACCGCCACCGUAGCCAAUUCCGUGCUCUCCGCCUACUCCAUAACCGGCCCCACUGCCGCUUCCUCCACCAGAACCGUACCCACCUAAACCACCAUAACCGACAGUGCCACCAGAGCCGCCGCCUCCACCACCACCAGAGCCACCGCCGUGAUCUCCACCAACUCCGUACCCACCUCCACUACCACCACCACUUCCAAACCCUACCCCAUGUUCUCCUAUCACACCAUUACCAGGGAUGAAGUGCUCCCCAACUCCAUAGCCGCCGCCGCCACCGGAGCCUCCACCUCCGCCACCACCAUAGCCUCCGGCAGCACCACCACCACCGUAGCCCGAGCCGCCACCAAUGCCGUGGCCGGCACCAUAUGGGAAUGGCUCAAAAGUGAGGAGAGCUCUAGUGGCAUUACAUAUGGUUACACUAAAGAGAACUAGGAGUGCAACACCAACAACUUUAGUUGUAGUAGUCGUGGUGCCCAUAACGCUAAUGUUUGUGUUAAGGACUUGGAUGGGAAGGAACAAGGGUGUGAGUAUGGCUAUUUAUAGAGAUCGAUCGGGGAGGAGGGGGAGAGAGAGAGGGAGAGAGAGAGAGACACAGAGAGAGAGAGAAAGAGAGAGAGUGGUUAGGGAAUGUCGUGUAUGCCCAUACACUAUAACACUAUGCACACACAUUAGUAGCGCAUGCGGAUGGAGUUUAUGCGUUUAUGCUGUAUUGCAUAUUUCUGCGUUGCAUGUUACCCAUCGUUUUCUCACUCAUUGGCUAUUGCCGGGAUUUAUGAUUACUUUGUUGGACGAUCGAACUGAAAUGAUCGUUGAGAUUGAGCAACAACGAAAAAAGGAAAAAUUAAUUAAUAAAUCUACAGGUGAAAAUGCAAUGCGAGAACCAUUAUGAAUUAGGUCUUUAGCUGCAAUUUUUUUUUGACUGGUUUCAUGGUAAAAGAGAAUUUCAUUACAAAGGCGCUUUUUAGUCAACAUUUAAGAAAAGCAUCCCAAAGUAUUCUUAUAAGAUAAAAAAUGUUGACACUUCGAAAAAUAUUAUCAUAUAUAUUAACCGUUUAUCAUAUCAAACAAAUUUAUUGAUCAUAAAUUUAAAUUUCGACGACGUUUGGCAUAAGUAUCAGCGUAUACGCAGCCACUCUCCAUGUGCCGAUUACCAACACUUUCAAAUGUGACCAUAGACUGCUUUGGAACAUUUUUUAAAUAUAAAAAAAUAUCCUUAAAUAUUAAUUUUCUUGCUGUAAUGUCUUUUUAGCUUUUGUUUAUUUUAAAUUUUACUAAUAUUAGUUAAUUAAUUUUAAAAUUUUAUUAAAUUGAAUGAUUUUAUUAGCAAUCACUUAGUAUAUAACUGUAUAUUGACGGAAUUAAUCAGCAAUGCAAAAGGAAAGAAUGAGAUGUGAUUAUACGUAAAGCAAUGUUAAUUGUAUAGAGCGUAAAUUUUAUAAUCUAGCUAUCCAAAAACCAAAUAUUUAUAGUAGUCUUAUCAAUAUUCUUUUAAUACUAAGAAUCUUAAAAAAAAAAUUAAACUCUUCAAUGAUGGGUGCAAGAUGGACACAUGAUUAAUACUAAAAAUCUUACAAAAAAAAUAAAAUUAAACUCUUAAAUGAUGUAAAAGUAGUAUUUUUCUACAUAACCGCACAAAGAAUCACCAUAUAUAUAUAUUUUCAUCAAGAAAAAAAGGGACACGUGAUUAAUUAUACCUAUCUUGAUUCACUUAAUUAAUUACUAACUUAACAAGUACCACCUCUCCUUAAAAAUUAGUGAUAAACUUGCUUUUAAAUUUCUUGUUGGUUUACUAGAUUAAUAAGUACAUAUAUUUGCAGGAGACAAAUAAUCUAUUGUUUAGAUGAAUCUCUUUUGUUUCUUCCGAGUCAAAUUGACUUGUGGCUCUUUUUGGGUUAAGUGAGUUAAUUUGGGCAAUAUAGGUUUAGUUAAAGGUCAAAAUAAAAUAGGUUAAAAAAUAUCUUCUUCUCUUUUGUUCUUUAUUCUCUUUUGUAGCGUUUCUCUCAAGAGCAAGAAAAGUGCGAAAAAUGGUCCAAAGGUUGUGGGAUUUUGUUAGGUUUGAGGUGGGUGACCUCCAAUCUACUUCUUUCUCUCUCUUGUGAACAUUCAUCGUAACAUAUUUUUGGUUGAAGGUUUAUUCGGUAUUUUUUAGUUUUUCAUUGCAUGGUGUUUUGAAUAUUCGAGAUAAAGUUGAUUAAAUUCAUACGUGGGGUUAUUUGAGAUUGUUAUAAUUGUAAGCUUUUUAUUUCCCUGUCCUUAUCUUCUAUGGUGGUUAUGUGAUCUUGAACGUGUAGGAAAAUUGAAUUUUCGGUUUUUACACAUCAAAGGAAAGGGUGUGCUAGGCUUGGAGCCGAUUUUACUUUUCUCUUCAUCUUAGUCGCAGUAAACUUGGAAGUUACAAAGGACUACUAAUAUAAAAACUUGGAAGGCAAAAUGUUUCUCUCCAUUCCUCUUAAUCUUUGCAUGUACUUCUUAUAUGUCAAUCAUAUUUGGAGAGAGAAAUACAAGGAUACACGAGCGAUCUAAUUAAUUACAAGAUUUUACGUACCUUCAAUACAAGUGUAAGUGGAUCUGUCAAAUGUAGAGUUGCUAGUUUUAUGGCAAUUAAAGAUAUGCUAAUCAUUUCUUGUUUAUUAGUUGAGGAAUUAGCAUGUAUUUGUUGUUUAGUAUACUAUUUACUGGUAAUUAAUUAGUCGCCUAUCUGUAAAAUUUUUUAUCUAGUUCCUCCUAAUGCUUGUAUUCACUUAUAACUGCUUACUGAAUUCAGGUAAGAAGUAGCUAGAGUCUCAUGAGCCUAUUCUCUUUCAUCUGCUUCAAUUUUACUGCGUUCGAAAGAGCCUGUUUUUUCCUUUUUUUCCCCCUAUAUAUAAACAGAAAUUAAUGCUAUCAAAGCAUUCAUCGAUCGGGCGCCCAACAAGAACACAUGGAUUAAUGGGUCCACUUUGAUGAGAGGAUCCACAUACAACCAGUAACAUUGCUCCCACUUUGGAACAUUCUUUAGACUUUCCGGAUAUGGAGGUACAAAAGCGAAAUAAAUUGUUGGGGUUUCAAUGAAGCCCUUUUCCCAUUAUAAACAAUAAAAGGGAUUUUUGAGUUUGAGACGCACUUACCUGUUUACAGUAAUGCAACAUGUAUAUCCAGCUAUGUUAUCUUCUUCCCGCGUGCAUGCAUAUAUAGAGGAUAGGGCAUGGUGUAGCACUUAAAGAAAAGCAAAACAUGUGGUUCUUGAAGGAAGAUGGAGAGCCAAAAAUUUAGCCUAGCUAUAUACUUACAUAUGUGAUGAUCGUAUAUAUUAACAGUUCAAAGUUGAUCUAUGAACUAAUAAUAUAUAUAGUACGGGCCUAAUUAAUUUGUGGUUUGAUUUAUAUAUGGAUCUACUCCAAAUUAAGAUCGUUCAAGUGAGAAGGUCCGGUAUAGGGAUCUGCGAGACCUUCCUGGUACAAAAAUUAAUGGAGUUUUUAAAUUCAUAAUACAAUUAAAAUAGAAAAAACAGUAGCUACCAAUUAGUACUACAAUCCAUGUUGUAACAGUAGUCGCUAGCUGUGCGGGAACUACUGGUAUGCAGAUCAAACUUUGUCAUGCACUCCAAAAGCUAUAAUUUUACCGACUUUCACCGAUGAUAUUGAAUGAGAAUAUAAUUAUAUAAUGCACAAAUGCUUAAAUGAGAAUAUAUGUAUAUGUUAAAAAAACUAAUAUAAUUAUAUACAGCACAAAUGCUCAACUAAUAUAAUUAUUUUAUCAAAUCUUCAUGCUUACGCAUGCAUAUGAUCGAUUCUGCUGUAAGCUUCAACAAUUCUCAUGCAUGUUUAGUAUUAGGUGUUAUGCUAUUCAAAGAGUAAAUAGAAUGAGGCAUUCUUUAUGUAAUUUUAUUAUUUUAGAAAAGUUGGAAGUAGGCUAUGAGUGAGUCAAUUAAUUAAGUUAGCAUGAUUAAAAUACGUACGGUUCAAGUUAAGGUGGAGUGAUGAGGCAAAAACACCUCGCAGAAGAACGAUCGAGUGCUUAGCAAGUUCCCUGUGCGUAGCAAACAACAAAAAUCUAAGCCAGAUCUAAUGUUCAGCAUAUAAACUUUUUCCAAGAGUAAUUUCUAAGAAUGUUCUAUAUAUAUUUCAACUCUCAAUGAUGAUCACAUGCAUUGAUAUGGACUAGUAACAGCAUGAAGAAAUCUAACAGAACUACCAACUAAGUUUAAAUAAUAUUCCAGAUUGAAGAAUGAGUUGGAGUUCCACAAACUCUGAAUAUGCACAGAGAGUUUUUUUUUUUGGGAUAUUGCUUCAUAGGGUUAAUUACAUCAUUAGUCCCCAACCUUUACUUCAUUUUUCACUUAAGUCUCCAACCUUUUCUUUCCAAUCAAUUUCCAUUCUCUUGAUUUUAAAUUAUGUCCCAGCCAUUAAAAAAGUGGUUAAAAUUGACGGACUCGCCAUGUAAGCACUUAUAUGGCUACAUGGCUUUUUUUUUUGCAUGUCAAUUUUGAUAUCUAAACUUUACAUAUUUUUUAUUUUAGUUAUCAAAAAUAAAAAUUUACAUUUUUAAUUUUAAAUUCAAAAUUAAAUAUUAAAAUUAAAUAUUAAAAGUAAACAGAAAUUAGAAUUUUGAAUUUGAAAAUUUUGAUUUAAAGCUGAAUUAAAAUUUUAAAUUAAAAUUAAAUUUUAAAUUUAAAUUUUAAAUUGAAUUGAAUCUAAAUUUUUAAUUCAAACUUAAUUUUUUAUUUUGAUAUUUGAAUUUCCAUUUAAAAUCAAAAUUUUAAAACUAAAUUUAACUUUAAAUUUUGAAUUUAAAUCAAAUUCAAAAUUUUGAUAUUAAAUUUUAAAUUUGAAUUCAAAAUUUAAAUUUGAAUUUGACAUUUGAUUUCAAUUCUAAAUUUGAAUUUAAACUUCGAAUUCAAAUUCACAUUUUGAAUUUAAAAUUUCAAAUUAAAGUUUGAAAUUAAAUUAGAAUUAGAAUUCAAAAUGUGAAUUUGAAUUUAAAAUUAAAUACAAAAUUUGAAUUUGAAUUCGAAUUUAAAUUUGAAUCCAAUAUCAAAAUUUAAAUUUAAUAUUUGAAUCUUAAAUAAAUUUUUUUUGAAUUUAUAAUUUAAUUCAAAUAUAAGUUAAAUUUUAAAUUUAAAGUUAUAAUAUAAAAACUAAAAUUAAAAUUGUGUAAUUAGCUGGUAUUGACAAAGUGCCUCCAUGGCCUAACAUGGUGUUGAGUGGCAUUUUUUGCAAUUUUAACACCCGUUCUGACGGCAGGAAUUUAAUUGUAAUAAAAUCAAGAGGUUGAGAACUUGAUUAUAAAGGAAAAAAGGAUUGGGGACAAAAGUGAAAAAAGUUGAAAAUGUUAGAGAUCAAUGGUGUAAUUGACUCUUGCUUUCAUAUGCUAUCAAAGCAAUAUAUAUGUUUUGAUUUUGAAUCGCUCAAAUUUUUUAUUAAUAUCUUGAGGCAAGCAUAUAUAUAGAUAGAGCAUUUAGAGUGAUCACAUGCAAUGCAUACAUAAUAGCAUAAGAUUUUAAAAAUUAAAAGGAAUAUUAAUUUCAUGAUUUUAAUAAGAUCUCACAAUGUUGCGCAUCGGCUAACUACAAUAUUAGGCAAAUUUAUCAUAUCAUCUUUUAAUUAAGGAGAUUAAUUGAACCUAUAUGCACGACCAAUAGAAAUAUUUAGUGACAUAUAUACAUAGACGAUCUAGCUUUUUAUGCUUUUAGAAGUAUAGCAGCAUUUGUAGUAUUAAGUUAUUUUUUAUGCUAGAACUUUCGAAUCGAUAAUUAGCUCUAUUAAAUUUGAUAUGAAAUAUUUGAAGUAAUUAGAAAAUACAUUUCGUGAUUUCGUGAAUUUUUUUUUGGGAAAACUUCAAAAACCCCCCCUGUGGUUUCAUGCAUUCUCACUUUGCUACCCUGUGGUUUAAAACGUAUCAAUUUGCCCCCCUGUGGUUUCGUUUUUAUCUUUUUGUUAUCAAUUUUAUUAUUAUUUUUUUUUAAAAUCAGUGACAAAGUUAAAAUUAAAGGAUACUAAAGUGACUAUUUGAUAAAUAUAGAUGGUUAUCUGAAGUUUUUUGUAUAUAAUUUAACAAAAUAUUAACGAAAAAGCUUCCGAAAAGAUAAAAAUGAAACCACAGGAGGGUAAAUUGAUAUGUUUUAAACCACAGGGUAGCAAAGUGAGAAUGCACGAAACCACAGGGGGGGUUUUUGAAGUUUUCCCUUUUUUUUUAUACCAAAUACCUAGUGACCGACGGAGCCUAAAAUUAGUAAUUUGAUAAUCAUGGUAAACCAUUUGCAGAUUUAAUGGUCUAAAAAUAUUCAAAUCACGUAUUUUAUAAAUUAUAUCGAAAAUUAAUUUAUGAGAUUUAUUUUCUAAAUAUUUUUACUACUCUAGAUUAAGCCAAAUGGAAUCGAUCGUCAAUCCGAAAAUUCUAACAUAAAAAACGACUUGAUAGUACGAAAACUAAAGUGCUUUCAGAAGUACGUAUACAAGCCGAUGGCUAUAUAGAUAGUUAUAUAUUGUUCCAGACUUUACUAGUUAGGUGUUCGAUCGGUUCGUUUGUGGCAUGAAAGAGCUACAAAAAUGAGCCACUACGUACCCAUCACUACUACCCUCACAAGUCGACGAAGAAAAAGGUACGUAGCAAUGAAACACUAAUGGCGCGAAAUAUAUAUAUAAAGAAUUAACUAUUAUAUAUCUCGAGCCUAGCUAUGUGGAUGCCAGAUAGAGCGCAAUACGUACUCUACAGGAACUUUGUAUAGCCUGCGGGCCCACAGACACUGGCCGAUAAAGGUCACUAACUCAUGCAUGUUCUGGCCAAUUAACAGAGCCCACUAACCCAUCCAUGUUGCAUGUACUGGCCAACAAAGGCCACUAGUGAGCCCCAUGCAUGUGCCCUCCACCACGACGAAAGAUUAUAUAGCGUGAUGCACCACGUCCACCACGUUGGUGCGUGCACCGCAUUUUUCCACUCUUCAUCGAUCCCCUGUUAUUUAUUUAAUUUGAUUGGAGAAAUAUAUAUAGUAUUAUCCAAUGAAGUGCGAAUUCACCUAGUAGUUUAAUUAGAAGAUGAAUUAACUUUUAAUCAAAUAAGUUCUCUACAGUAAAAUUAUAAUAAUAAUAAUAAUAAUAAACUUUUUCUUUAAGAGUGUAAAAUUUUAUUUUAUCUUUUUCCAUCAUUAGGAAGUCUUUUUUCUUUUUCUUUUUUUUUUGGUCAAAAUUCCUACCGUAGAUAAUUAUAACUAAAAUAAGUAAAAGUGAGGCUUUAAAGAUAUAUAUAUGUACUAAAUUUUAAUUUCGGAUUACAGUUUUCUAACACAUGCAUGUUUUGAUAUUUUGAUGGACUCGAAAAAUUUAGAAAUUCUUUGAAGCUUUUCUCAAAUUAAUAGCAUAAAAAUAAUACUUAUUUUUCGGAUGAUAAUUUUUUAUCAUUAUUAUAUUGGUUGCUUUGAAAGAGGUAAGCUCCAAAAUAUUUUUUAAUAAGAUAAACUUUAGCUUUCUCCCGUGGUGAUUUAGCUCAACUUAUUUUGUCAUUAUAUGAUUCAAAAUGUUUUUUUUUUUUGAGAGAGAGAGAGAUAGGUAGCACGGUAUCCGCUUCGUUUAUUUCAUUUAGAAAUAAACUUUGCUGGAAAUGUGAAUCAAUUAGGAUUCGAACUUGGGUCUCGGAUACCAACCACCAAACCCUUUGCCACUUGCUUUAGAGACAGUCGGUUAUAUGAUUCCAAAAGUUAAACUUAACUAUUAUAUAAUUUAGCUCAUAUUUACCUGAGCACUCUUUAUUAAAAAAUUUACAUUUAACUAUUCUAUUGUUAUCAAAAAAUAUAGUAUUGUUAUACUGUUUAAUAGUAAAUUUUUUAGAUAAAGAUAAAGAUAAAACUACAGAAUAUAUAUCUAAAUAUAAAUUUUUGAACCACAUAAUAGUAAAACAAAAUUAAGCUAAACGGCAUAAAGGGCAGAUUAAAAUUUAUUCUGUUAAAUAAAUUUUCAUUUAGUUUUAUAAAAUAUUGAAAAGGGAUAAUUUUAUCAUGGCAACUCCAGGUGCAAGCAAGAUUUCUCCUACCACUCCUGCCACCUUCAGAAACACUAUAAAUACCCGGGACUUCCCAAACUCUCAUCUCAUGAAACACAAUUCCAAAGUUCGCUCCAUGGCUACUAGAACUAGUAGAGUUGUUACCAUUACACUACUAGUGCUCCUAGGUGCAACCAUAUGCUCCGCCGCUAGAACCCUUCUCUCUCUAGAGGCCGGAGCCUACGGCGUUGGCCAUGGCAUCGGCAUCGGUGGCGGGGGCAGCUACGGCGGCGGAGGUGCCGCUGCUGGAGGUUCUGGUGGUGGAGGUGGCGGCGGCAGCGGGAGUGGCGGCGGCGGAGGCUACGGUGGAGAGCAGGGAAUUGGCUACGGGAGCGGUGAAGGCGGCGGUAGUGGCGGCGGUUACGGCGCCAGUGGAGCAGGAGGAGGAGGAUAUGGCGGUGGUGGAGGAGGCGGCAGCGGCGGUGGCGUGGGGUACGGCGCGGGAGGAGGGCAUGGCGGAGGGUAUGGCUCCGGCGGGGGCGAAGGGUAUGGCAUUGUGUACUCUUGAAUAUAUAUUAACUACUAAGAUAUCAUUCUUAAGGAGCUUCAAUUUAACAAUUUUUUUUUUUGAGUAAAAAAAAAGUUGUUUCAGACAUAGUUAGCAAAUUAUUCGCGAGUUAUUAAAAAUUCGAAUAAAACGUUCCGUAUGCAAUAUAUUUCUAAAAAUUCAAAAUAAAAUGUAAAUUUUUGGAUUAAAUUUAUUAUUUACGAAUAAUUUGCGUAUGCCGAACUACUCGGCUAAAAAAAUGCGCAAAAUUUUUGGAUAAAAUUUCUUUCCGAAUUAUUGACGAAUUUUUCGUGAAUUAUUGAAAAACUUCAUGAACUUUUGAAAUAUGUGGAUUAUGAAAAAUUAAAGAUCAUAACGACAAUAAAAUUAAUUUGCCAUUGCUUUUUUAACUUAAUCUACUUUAUUUUAUAAAUCUUUAUUUGUAUAUUUUUAAAAGUUUAUAACUAUAUAUGCUAGUAGCAUAAAUUUAGAAAAAAGGUUUAGUUUAAUAACGGAAUUUUUUAUCACAAUUUUUAAUUAGUAAACAUAUAAUUUUCGCAUAAAUCGCAUAUCUGAAUAAUCGGAGAAUCCGUUUCUUUAAGUCAUAUUUUUCGACAAAUUUAAAGAUUGAAAUCAUUAUAACUAUACCGAUUUUUUGCGGAAUCCGAAUUAACUAACUAUAAUUUCGUAUGAUACCAUCAUAAGAUAAUUUGUAUAUAUCAAUUCUGCUUAGACUUUUAGUUUUAUGUAGUGUCCUUUCAUUUAAAUCCAUGAUGGGUGAGGGAAAAUUUUGAAUAUAAAACGCAAACACAUCACUUUCUGGCAUGCGCUUUAAGAUUAAACAGUUGUUUCAUCACAGAUAUGGAGGGGCGGGCGGCCAUGGCGGAGGCGGCGGCGGAGGAAACGGCGGAGGUGGCGGGUACGGCAGUGGAGGUGAGCACGGAGGGGGGUACGGUAGCGGCGGUGGAGAGGGAGGCGGUGCAGGGUACGGCGGCGGAGGGGAGCACGGCGGAGGGUACGGUGGUGGAGGAGGAAGCGGCGGAGGUGGCGGCGGUGCUUACGGGGGUGCAGGAGGGUAUGGUGGUGGUAGCGGCGGCGGCGGCGGCGGCGGUGGCGGCGCCGGUGGUGUUGGUGGGUAUUAUGCUGGGUUGCAUAAUGGGUACAUUCCAUGAAGUUGGGAGUACGAAAACAGCCCCAAGCUACCGCCGUAUCUUGAGCAACUACUAGUGCCAAUAAAGAAGUGUGCUUAUUAUUAUAAUUCGUGCCUAUGAUUAUGAUAUAUAAUAUGUGUAAUUAAGGGAGGGGUUUGAUGAUUUCUUAUGUUGGGUUGGAAUGCUAUUUGUCGUUGGAACUACCGUUAUAAUUCGUUGUAACAUGUGAAAUCAACGAAUGAAGUAAUGAAAACAGCAUUAAUUAGCUUAAUAGAAGUGUAAUAUAUUGAAUUCCAAUGUAUCAUACUGAACUUUGACGAAACUAAAUAAAAUACAGCCAAAAAAGGAAUAUAAUAGUAGUGUUCGCGAUGGAUCACGAGGAUUUCGAAAUAGUUAAAAUAAAAAAUUCGAGACAAAGUGAUUACUAUAACAAAUUUUGCAUUUAAGAAUGCUUUAAACAAUAAUUCGCAACGUUUUAAAGUAUCAGCAAAAAUAAUUCCAACAAUUUUAAAAGCGUAUGGCAAAGAGUUGUUAAAUAAAACUAUCGGGACAAAUUUACCAAUAUUUUAAUAUAGUGUCGAGCAAUUAUUUCUGACUCUUUUGACAGUCGGUAAUAUGUUAGUUGUCAACUCUAAAACAGUCGUUAAUUUAAACAAUUGCUAAUACUCCAAAGCAUCGAUAAAUUCAUUACAAUAGAAUUAGAUUAUUGGGACAUAUUUUUGGGAUAUUUUUAUCUAAGUGUCUCAUUUAUGCAAACUUUUUUUAAAAAAAUUUAUUAAUGCCUAAAUAUAAAGCCCAAUCCAAUCAAAAACAAAAAAUUUCUCUACGCAACCAACCCCACCUAGCCCACUCGACAGGAUUACAAAUAGAAAAGAAAAAAAAAUAAUAAUAAUAAUAAUAAUUAAUCACCAUCUCCCCUUCUUCUCCUCCACCGCCGUAGUCGACGAGAUAGGUUCCGGUGACUAGAGUUCGGCCGCGAGGAUCUCGCAGGGACUGUAGAGGGCUACGAUCGCCACGUGUCCCUCCGCCACAUGUCGCUAAAGAAGUGGGUGCCAAAUAUCAAGGCGGCCCUAUAUAUAGCGACUGCACAUAUAACAACACUUUUAAAAAGUAUCGAUAAUUUAGCCAGCAGCACUUUUUUCAACUUAUACUGACAUUUAAAAUUGUCGCUAUACACCAAUUUUGUUGUAGUGAAUAUUAUAAAAUACAAAAUAAACAUUCUAAUACAAAAACUUUGCAAUAAUGAAUAAAAAUUUUAAGUGUUUCAACAUCAGUAAAUGUCACGCGCCGGAUUACUCGUUUUUCCAUGCACGACGACAAAUCCGCCAUAUACAAAAAAAAAUUUUCUGUAUACGAAGCGAUAGCUGUAUCUGUACCUGUAGUCAUACAAUACUACAACCAGUAGUAUAGAGCCGCUAAAAAAAGACAUAUAUAACAACAUCGGUUCAAUAUGCAUACAUAGUAUCCAGAUAUAAAAAUCACUCGCUCCAGCGAAGAACUAAUAUCAGUAUAUAUAAGAACUCAAAACCAAAACUAUCUGAAGCUGGUAUAUCUCUAGAUCAGCAGCAAAAUGGGAAGGGAUCUAGCUCGCGACUCCCUUUCCACGAUUUGAAUCCACAAAGCAGCAGCCAAAGAAGAAGGCUCUGCAAAAGGUUCCACAACUGGGUGUGAGAACUAUUGCAAAGAGAAGUAGUUCUCAGUGGGUACCGCUACCAACCUCAACGGCUCAUCCACUAAGUUUAUACACUACUGUAAAAAUAAACUUGACAUGCCAGCACAUGUGUAAUGCAUUCUACACUAUUCUAGGUAUUCACCGCCCACAAACUGUGGCGAUACAAACAACCUACGGCUCCUAAAGCUAAACUGGUAGUUUCAGAAAAUGACGGUGUAGAAUCGAUAGUUUUCUCCUAAGUCAAUUCCAAAUCCAACAUGUAUAAUUUAUUUAAAUCACUACUCUAUACUUCAAAUUCAGAUUUCAAUUAACAUGCAAAUCAACGAAUUCGAGUAAAUUAACAUGAUAUACAAAGAUCAAAAUACAUGCUGACAUCAACUAGGCUUAGGAGGAAAUCCGUAGUAUCCGGUAAGCAUAUCAUUAACCCACCUCUAGCGUGAGUCCAGCAAGAUUAGGAAAACGUCAGAAGAAGCCCUGCCAAGCUCAACUACGAAUCAGCACAAUCCUCUCUAAGGGUCUAACACAAGAACACCAAAAUUGUAUCAAUUCCCUCAAAUUUCAGCACUAAUGCUUAAUUCCUCCAGAUCCAAUGUCAAAACUCGCCUUUCAAUCCACAAUUCAGGUGAAGAACAUUCUCAAAACCAGUAGGAAAUGAUGGAGCAACCUCCUCUGGUCGAAAUUUCAGCUUCCUCAAAGAUUUGGUCCAAGAAAACUACAAAAAUUCAAGUUUCAGCUCCAAAACAGCAGCACUUAAAAAAAAUAGCAAAUUAACCAUACUAACCUCAAUCAAUUUCUGUCAAAUUAGCACCACGAAACCUUCCAGAAGUCUACUAAACACCAAACCAAGUUUCGCGACAAUCUGACCUUCCUACGUCGCACACGAGCCAAAACGCCGAAGGCCGCUGCUGGAAUUCUGCUGGAAUUGCAAUCCUCAAGGUGGAAUUAUGCAAUUAGGAAAGUUUAGAGGGGCUAAACUGCAAAAAUAGGGCUUCUCUGUGAAGAAGGGUGAAAAAGCUUCUUAGGGGGUCGAACACAAGCUUUUAUAGAGAGAUAAAAGGGUAAGAAAAGCCUCAGGAAUAGGAAAGACUAACCUAUUGUUCCUGCAGAAACGAGCACUUUCGGGCUCCCGAAACUCACUUCUGGGCGUCCGAAACCUUUAGGCCAUACAACACACCCUCUUCGGUUCCUCCGCCUGCGGUCUGCUGUGCCCCUAACAUGGUCCGGCGUACCUCACCUACCACCAUAUACAUGUCAACGCAAUCGAUAUUUCCAAAGUAAACAUUCGGGCCCAUAAUCGGGCACCCGAAAACAGGAUCCGAAUUGGCUUUCAGUUUCAGCUCAGUUCAGCACUCAGUUCUGGGCGACCCGAACCAAGUUCUGAGCACCCGAAACUGGCAAAACUCCAGUUUUGCUUAUUUGAGUGCGCCAAGUCCGUUUCUACAUCCCUUUUGUGCAAAAACGACUCUGAUUCAGUUCGACACUCUCCAGAUGUGUCGACCAAUCGCUAAUACUGUAGCCAAUCCGAUACAAAACUCUCGGGAUACUACAGUAAAUUUCAAUCAACAAUACUAAUCCCAAUCAAGAAAUAUAAAAUUUCUACUAUUGCAUAUGCAUUGGAAAUAAUAGGAACAAAAAAUUUUCAUCACGGUUUUAUUCACGAUGAAUUAGUAAAGUCUCUAAAUGCAUCACUCUUGUUGCGCGUAUAUUGCUUUCAAUUAUGCGUUCUCUUAUAAUGUAUAUUAAUAUAGAACCUACGCUUCACAGCGAAUAGCUAGCAUUCAGUCAAUUAAGACAUAUAGUUAUUAAAACUUUAAGAUUGAAAAAUUUAUAACUAAAAAAUAUCAAAAAAUUAUAAAGUGGUCUUUUGUACAUUAUAAAAAAAAUAAUUUUUAAUUAAUAUUUUUUAAAUUUUUUUAAUAUUUGUAGAGUAGAGUUAAAUUAUUCUAAUAAUUUUAUUUAAAAAUUCAAUCAUAUUAGUAGUUUUAACCGCUAUUAUAUAAAUUUUUUAACCAAAAAGUUAAAGUUGGAAGACUUAUUUCAAAUUGAAUAAUAAGUGAGGGUGUCUUUACCUUUUUAAAAUUAAUUGUAGAAAAAAAUAUAUUACUCACCUAAUAUAUAUUAAGGGCACGUUUGGUUCGAAGUCGGAAUUGGAAUCAGAAUUAGAAUCGAAAUAAGCUGGAAUCGGAAUCGGAAUCGGAAUCGGAACGACUCAUUAUCUAAUUCUGUUUGGUUCGUUACCUGAAUCGGAAUCGGAAUAAAUCAUUCCCAUUAUCGAUGUUUGGUUCAGCUAGAUAUAAAAAACGUAUUCAAAUUGAUAUACUAACUUUAUCUUUAUAAUAUAUUAAUUAAAUUAGAAUUGAAAAUUAAAUAUUAAAAAUUUACAUCAAAAUUUUGAAAUAAUGUCAAAAACUCAUAUUUUAAUUAAAGAAGUUGGAAAAAUAAAUUUAGUUCGAAUAAAUAUCUAUUCCGUCCGAAUUCAACUUCCAAUCCGGCCUCCUAGGCCGGAUUGAAAAAAGAGGUGAUUAGGAGAUUCUCAUUCCACUCGGGAAUCGGAAUCGGAAUGGGACUCCCACAUACCAAAUAUCUACAAACGGAUUCACCAAUUUCGAUUCCGAUUUCAUGGUGAAAAAGAAGCGAACCAAACACGCCCUAAUACCCUAUCUUUGGCAACUUAUAUUAGAUAACUAAUAUUCUAAUAUCAAAAUUUAAUUAAACAUAUCCAAUCUAAAAAGUCUAAUAAUUUAAAUUAUAUAUGAUAAAUUGAUUUUAAAAUCUCUAUCAAAGGAUUUUAAUAAGAUGCACUUAUAAUUUCAAAAGAGAUAAGAAAUCUUUGCUUGCUGAUGCGUACCAAUACUUCAAACACUGCAUAAAAUAUUAAAUAUUGAUGGAAUAUUUGAUAAUCAAUACUAUAAAAUAAGAUAUGAUAUUAUAUAUGUAAUAUAAAAUAUUUAAAUAAUUUAUUAUAUUAUAGAAACUUAUUUUUAAUUUACAUUUUAGACUCGGUUUACGAUGCAAUGGGCGCAUUCAAAAUUAUUAUAGGACAUGUGGCAAGCCCCAUUGGCACGUUCAUGCCUUAAUCGGCAACGUGGCUCUCCCUCCCAAGCCAUUUUGGUGAUGUGACCUCACUCUCAAAUUAUGUAUUUUAUUAUUAUAUAUUGCCGUAGAUAAAAUGUGAUAAAAAGAAUUAUAUGGGCAGAACUCAGGUUUAUUAAGAUUUCCACCUAACUAGCAUUAGGCAAAAUCCAUCCUACAAUAGGCAGACAAAAAUGAAAGUUAGUACAAACACUCUGUUCACCAAUCUUAUGUUGUUGUAGACAGAAUAUAAUGAAAAAAAUUAUAUAAAAAGAACUCAACUGCAUUAGAAUUUCUAUCUAAAUAGGAACAAGCAAUAUCCAUCUUACAAUAUAUAGCAGACAAAGAAAAAAUAUUAGCACAAAUAGUCAAUUCACCGAUCAAAGCCAACAUUAACUUAGACAAAAAUGAAAGUAUCGGAAACUAUUCAUGGAUAGUCCGAGUAGUUCAUAAAAACUCACUCACACAUAGACAACCAAAUUAAACUUCUAAUUAAAAGUCAAAAUAUUAGCGGAUAGAGAAUUUUUCUCCAAAUAAGUCCAACUUUGAUACGUUUCUCUCAUGAAUUGACAUUAACACUGCUCCACCUUUUUCUUUUGGGAUUAAGCACGUACUCAUAAAAUUUUCCAAUCAAAUGUAGAGUUUUGAGUAGUCAAAAUUGAUGUCUUAAAUCUGAACAUAGAGUGUCAAUUUGCUGUUCUAACAAUUUGUGGUUCUAAUAAUGAUUUUUUUUUAAUCUUUCCAAAAUUAGAGUAGAUUCAUUUUAAAGGGUUAUGGGCCCACACAAAUUUUGAUCAAUAGCCUUGAGGUAGGUGAGUGAAGCAGAAGUAGGCAUGAUGAGGAAUGGCAGGGAAUUUUAAAUUCCUGUAUGCCGGUAAGAGCGUGGGAUCGAGUAGGGAAGGAGAAAAAAAUCCCAAAGCGGAUUGCCUAGGCGGACGAGGUAGGUGUAGAGUUAUUGAAGGUCUUCAGCUGUAAUGAAGAUGAUGAGGGGACGUUAGUUGCAUCCGGUAAGGACACCACCCGAAAGCAAAAGGAAGUCUUUAUUGAUGGACAUCAACGGAGUAAGCUUCGGGGUUCGCCCGGUGGACAGCAAAGCGGGGAGAAGAGCUAGGGGGAAGGUGGGAUCAGUAAUUGCUCCACCCUGAACAGAGGCUCUUUUAAGGAGGUGUUGAUGAGGAGGCCGAUAUCUCAUUCUAGUGUGUCUAACCUUCACCACCAUCAUCCCCACAUUCCUCCCUCUCAAAUUACUUGGGGUCGCCCUCCUCGAAGACCUGUGAAGAGGUGUUUCCGGUGUCUGGCAAGGAACCAUUCCGUCGCGGCGUGUCGCGCCCCUUUAUAGUGUUAUAGGUGCUGGAAAACUGGCCACCGAGCAUACUCUUGUAGGGGGAAAUCUGGUGCAAAUGGUGGCAAUAUGAACAGAGCUACGAACCUCAGGGGGCGAGCUCCACUGUCCAAGGUUUAUGUCCCCUACACUGAGGGGUACUUGCGAAGAGUCGAGCUAUGCCGUAAUGCCAUCCUCGCAAACGUCAUCCAGCGAGCUAAUCUGGGACCGGACCCAAUUACCACCAUUAAGAUCGCUCUCGCUAGCUGCUUCGGGGGGUAUACUGAGGAUUUUGCUGUCGCGCACUGCAGAGAGAAAGACUUUGCAAUUUUUUUGCCGGAAUGGGUUUCAAUUGAAGUACUGACCAGAAGGGAGGUUCUUACUCUUAAUGGUUUUUGGAUUCCGUGUUGGCUAUGGGGUCGCUACCGGGAUGCUCGACCUCAUUGUGUCCAAUGCAAAGUGUGGAUCCGCUUAAUCAACCUUCCUUUCGAGAUAUGGUCUGUGGCUCGUGUGGCGGCGUUGAUCAGUGGCUUCGGGCGGUUCAUCAAGGCUGACGACGUGACCAAGGCAAUGACGGAUUUUCGAGCCUUUAGAUGCCACAUCGCUCUCGACUCGCUCAGCAGCAUACCUCAGAAUCUCUCGGUGAUCGUUGGCGAGGAGCUUUCCUGGCCAUGGUCCACCUGGAGAGGUGGGAAAGGACAGUGGACGGUGAACUCGUGGCGCCACCCACACCACCACGUAACGAAGACGGCAACGCCGAGGAGCGAGCGGGUAAUCGGAACCAUUGACAGCAUGACGACAGAGGUGAAGCCCAAGCGGACGACGACAUAGAGGAUGCACCAGGAGGGCUAGAGGAAGCUGAGCCAAACCCACUGAUCCACAGGGCUUCGUGCGUUACGCCAGCAACGCGAGCCUCCACGGUGGCCCAUCAGCUCGGAUCGGCGGCGAGGCUCCGAGUGGCAGUUGGCUGGCGUCUCUGGGUUGCAACGGGUCGAAGAAGCUCAGAAUUUGAAGCGACGGGAGUGUCGGGCUCGAGGCAGGCUCAGCGUAGCGGGACUCCCGUGAUUUGCUCGAAAAAAGAAAGCGGACAGAGCAUGCCCAGAUUGACCUGCCUAGCAACGUCUUUCCCAACUAGUGGAAAACUCUUUUUUAUGACUAGGGGUUUAGCUUGGGAGGUGGAUUGCAAGCCCGUUGAUGUUGGGGGACCCGAGGUAGUAAAUGCCCUGGGUCAACCCUCGGGUUCCAAGCCAAAACUACUGAUCUCGGUUACUUGGUCCACACUCAUUACCCUAUCUUUACAGGUGGCAUUGGGUGGCAGUCGGGUUGAACACUCCUUAGUGUUGGUCAAUGGGCCUUCUCCGGCCCUUAGGGCCUGGUCCUUCCUCUCAUCCCAUUAUCAGCUUUGGUAGGGGGGCUCGACCGCUCUUUUGGCCCACGGGUCGGUCUUUCCAACCAGUCAUGGCCGUUCGGGUUCGCUGUUUCUGACACCUAGGGGGGCAAGUGCGGAGGCUUGCGUCAUUGAUCAGCAACUGCCUCUCGGAUGAGUAGGUGGCGCCAUGAGUGACUAUGAUAUGAUCCCUACUAACGAGCCGUUCGUUGAGGACUCGACAUUGUCAGAAGCCACCAGCGUCCCAAUUCCUUCCUCCCCUUUCCUUCUAGCCGACCUCAAGUUAUGCCCGGACACGAGAGGGAACAUAGGGGGAGCGACAAAGCGACAGAUACCGGCAGCACUUGUAUCGGUGUCUCCCAAAAAUAGAGGAGCUACUCCUCCUACGAUUUGCCAAGAAAGAGAAAACGACUUGCUAAGACCAAAAGACCAAUAUGACACCGAUACUGUCCAAGGCAAUGUUAAGGAAGAUCAAUCUGCGCGAAGGCGAGCAGGCAACAGAGCAGAGAGCCUCAGUAGCGAAGAUCACCUCCAAGGGUCUCCUCUGUAGGGUGAAGCUAGGCGUGAACGAGGCGAAGAACUUCAGCGUGUUUCUGAACGAAUGCAUGUAGGCUGGGCGUCUUGUGUUACUGUAGACUCUGUUUUGGUUUUUGGUGGUGAGAUUCUGUCGAUUUUUUGAUAUUUCGCAUCUAUAGAUGGAACGUUAGAGGGCUCAAUGACCUCUCUAAACGGCGUGCCGUUAGGGCCAUAGUGUCGAAACUGUGUAACGCGGUGGUUUGUCUCCAGGAGUCGAAAGUUAACCAAGUAUCCGGGUCUUUCCGUAGUAGUUUCGGUGGUUCCUUGUUAAACAAAUGUGUCUUUCUUGAAGCCGUUGGAGCCUCAGGGGGAAUUAUCACGGGGUGGAGUUCCCGCUUUUUCACUUGCUUAGAAGUUCUCGUGAGGACAUACUCCUUUACUACUCUUCUUUCCGCCGCUACGUGCGAGUCUAAGUUUUUUCUCACGAACGUCUAUGGACCCACCUCUUGGGACAGCAAAGAAGAGUUCUUCGCUGAACUGGCGCAGCUUAAGGAUCAUUGUGCGGGGAAAUGGAUCAUCUGCCAUGAUUUUAACUGCACUAGAGGGCAAGAGGAGCGGAAGGGAAAGCACUGGAGCACAAGGGCCACUGGUCUGUUCAACGAUCUGAUCAGAGAUCUCGCCUUAAUCGACCUGCCUCUGUCCAACCAAUCCUACACGUGGUCUAACUUGCAAGUGAAUCCAACGUUCGCGAGACUCGAUCGAGUCCUCGUCUCAACCGAAUGGGACCAGGAUUUCCUCCUUUCUAGAGUUGAAGCUUUACCAAGAAUUACUUCCAACCAUUGCCCUAUCUUACUAACUGCGGAGAAUUGCUCCUGGGUGAAGAACAAGACCUUUCACUUUGAGAAAGCUUGGCUGAAUCAUAAGGGAUUCAUCUCUAAACUUUCGAGUUGGUGGAGGGAAGGUUCUCAGGGUACGCAGGAUAAGUCGGCGGUUCUCACUUUCACAGCAAAGCUAAGACACUGCCGCAUUAGGAUCAAGGAGUGGUGCGCUAAUGAGUUUUACAGUAUUAGAAGAGCUAAGAAUCACCUUAUGGAUGAAAUACAGAGAAUUGAUAAAGUGGAAGAACUAGGCGAUCUAUCGCAAGACUUAAGUUCUAAGAGAGUGGAACUAAAGGAUAACCUGAGAAGUGUCUUAAGCGACGAAGCCUCCAUUUGGACAACCCGGGUCAAGCAGCACUGGCUGCGAGAGGGGGAUGGUAACACAAAAUUAUUCCAUUCAAUAGCUAAUGGCAGACGUAGAGCUAACUAGAUUGGCACAACUGUUGAGAAUGGUGUUAGUUACCGGUCCGAAGAGGAGAAACAAAAAUACUUCUACCGAUCCUUCAAGGCACUUUUCACACUCGAGGAUUCGAAUCCAACUUCCUUUGGAGACUGGGCCAGGUUAUUUCGGUCCAAUCGCGUUGCGGCUCCCAAUCUAUUGAGGUUAAUCGAACCCUUUAACUUAGAAGAAAUCAAGCAAGCUGUUUUCCAACGGGGGAGUGAUAAGGCGCCGGGCCAGGAUGGAUUUCCGUUAAAGUUCUACCAAACGUUUUGGGACACCAUUAAGAAGGAUAUCUCGAGUUUAUUCCAAGAGAUGUUUCAGGGGAGGCUCUCCACGGCCCCCAUCGACUACGCUUUCAUUUGCCUUAUCCCGAAGAAGGAGGGGGCAGAGCGGGCAAAUGACUUUCAACCCAUAAGCUUGCGGAACGGGAUCCAAAAGAUCUUAUCUAAGGUUUUGGCCAACAUGCUAGAAUAGGUAAUGAAGGACCUGAUAUCCUCUACUCAAUCAGCCUUCCUGAAAGACAGGAAUAUUACCGACGGAUAUGCAUCCGUUGCUGAACUUAUCAGAUAGGGUAGUAAAAAGUCUGUUGAAGGAGUGGGGGUAAAGGUUGAUUUCGAAAAACCCUACGACAAGAUUUACUGGCCAUUCCUAUUUCAAACUUUACGUUGGUGGGGUUUCAACGACAAGUGAUGCGGCUGGAUCGAAUUAUACAUGUGUUAUGCGAAAGUGGCGAUACUUGUGAACGGAGAGCCGACCAAAUGGAUAAAGACGAAGAGAGGCGUUAGGCAAGGGGACCCGCUUUCGCCUUAUCUAUUCUUGUUGGUGGCGGAGUGUCUCGCCCGUAUGACUAAGGAGGCAAUCUCUAAUAAUCUCAUCAAAGGCAUUGGUCCGUCCGAGACAAGUAAGGUGUAGUGUACCGAGUCCUCGGUGCGCUAAAUCGAACUUUCGUCAAAUUGACCAAAGUGAGAUAAUGGGCACUUAAAGAGGUCCGUUGAGUGUUCCGAGUGAUCGAAAUGACUUAUAAGGGUAUAAGGGACCAAAAUGGACCUUGGAGAGCACGAUUGGAGAAUUUUGAAAAAUUUUAAAUUUGUGGUGCUCUCGGGGUUCGGACCCUGCAUAUAGGGUCUGGACCCCGUACACGGGAAAACGUAAAAAUGGUGUAAAGUGUCAUUUGUGUGAGGGGCUAUGUGCAUUUGUGCCCUUGGAGUGUAUAUAGAUGGAUUUUGUUCCCAUUUUCUUCAUUCUCCCUCACACUCUCAACCAAAGAGAGUUCUCUUUCUCUCUCUAAACCUCUCUCUCUCCCUCUCCAAACCUCUUUUUCUCUCUAGGGUUUGCUCCAAUAGUGGAGUAAUGGUGGGGAGAAGCUUGCUUAGUGGUGAAGCAACCCUCUUGUGAAGGCUAAGCUUGGGAGAGAGCUUCAUUUGAGGUAAGCCUUGUGGAUUUGAAGGCUUUUAAGUUAGGGUUUUGAUAUAAAUCCUUUAGAAAUGAGAUAUAUUGGAACCCUAGAUGAUUCUAAACCAUAUUAUUGCAUUAUCUAUCAUAGGAAUUGGAUUUAUUGCAAUAUAAGGAUUUUUAGGGUUUCAAAAGAGGGUUUUGAUAUAGGUAGGUUUUGAUCUCAAUUGAUCCUAUGUUUCUGCAAUUGAAGGUGAAACUAACGCGGCGGAUCACCUGGAUUUAGAUUCCGUUGGGCCGGUGGUGGUCAAAGUGAAGAAAACUUUGUUUUUGCUUUGUUUGCCGCAGUCGGAAGAAAUCGACGAUGAUAAAUCGCGCUGCUUGGCUACCCGCUUCGUGACGACGCCACGAGGUGGGGGGUGCUAUCCGAAAUAGCCAGGUUUCAUUCUAUGUCUAAGUUCUACAUUUUGAUCAUAUAGCUUCAUGCAUUGUUAGUAUGUGAGAAACCUAUAGUCUUAGUAAAUUCAUGCUUAGUGUGAGGGAUGAUGAUCCAUGAUUGCAUGAUACUUGUAGGAAUAUCUAUUUGCAUGAUGUUGAGAUAGAUGUAUAGAUGUGUAUGCAUGAUUUGCUAGAGGACAUAUAUGCAUGUGAAUAUGCGAGAAUGUGCUAGAUACAUUGCAUGAGAACUAUAGAUGCUCUUAUUGUAUAAUGCCAAGAUAGUUGUAUAUAUGCAUGUUGCAUGAAUAGCUAGUGGACAUAUGCAUGUUGACAUAUUGUGAGAAUAUGCUAGAUUCAUGUGAAUUAAAUAUGUAGACAUGCUGUGAGAAUAUGCUAGAUAUGUGCGUGAGAUGCCAGAGAGCAUAUGUAUGUAGACCUAUUAUGAUAAUUGAAAAAUAUUGUAUAUGUAGCAUAUCCUCACUCAUGAGAAUUAUGAACUUGGCAUUAUGAGAAUUGGGAUGUGGGAUUCCCGAGGUCCUCGGGCAGGAGAACUUCAGCAUAUUGCAUAUGUGGCCUAUGGCGAGUAUAGCAUGCCUUGUGAUUAGAUAGGAUGUGGGAUUUCCGCGGUCCUCGGGUGGGAGGACUAUGAUCAUACUCGCGUCGUCUGUAUCUGUUUGGCUUGUGGAUGGUUGCGCCUCCCAAGCAAUGAGCUCCGGAGUUGUAUUACAGUGAGAUAGAGAAACGGGGGGUCCCUCCCAGCAGACAGCCAUGGUCGCACGAUAAGGUGUUACGAGUCGUGGUUCGACCUUUAGGCGAACCGAUUUGAUUGAAUCAAAGCAUGGUAAUGACAUUUCAUAUAUACUAGUGUAGUUACCCGCGUGAUGCGGCGGACAGGUAUUAUCGAAAUAUUAUAUUUUUAAUCCAAUCCAACUCACCUUAAACAAAAACUAUCAAAUAAUUCCAAAAAAUAUUGUAAAAUAGGUUAAAAAUAGAUAACGAAUAGAAAAUAAAAGAGAGAAAAAAAAAGAUAGAGAAACUAUUACUUGGUAUUGAUCUCUAAGAAGAUGAGACUUACUAUUAUUUUUGCCGCCACCUUGAUCUUCACUGCCAUUGCCCAUGCUUUCUUUCACAGCCGCCGCCGCCGCUUUGAUCUCUACUACUUUCUCAUUCACCACCUCCACCACCACUAUGACCUGAAGUAUCUAAAAAACUCUACACAAAAAAGAGGAGAUAGGGUUGUGGGAGUUAGAAAAAACGGAUGGUAGAGAAGAAGAAAAGACUUGUGGGCUGACCUGAAGUAUCUAAAAAACUCUACACAAAAAAGAGGAGAUAGGGUUGUGGGAGUUAGAAAAAACGGAUGGUAGAAAAGAAGAAAAGACUCGUGGGCUGGAAAGAGGUGAAGUAGUGGACGUUGAGAAGAUGAGAAGAUACUAAAGUUAGGAGCUGAAAAAAAAAAAGAAAUCCCACACCUCGUACUAAAUGAGAAUAGAAGAAGACACCAAAAUUAGAAGUUAACAAAAAAAAUAGAAAAAAGUAAAUUGAUGCCACAUCUUUUGGCAAAUGAAAGAGGUCCUAAUUUAUUAUAAAAAAUGAAUAGACUUUUAUUUUCAUGACAUGCAUAGGAGAGAAUGGGGCUUUUGUAUGAAUUUGUAUCGUUUAAGAUUAUAUUAGGAUUAGGAUAGGUGGAUGCAUUAAUUAAACGCUAUAUGUAAAGGGAAGAUGAAGGGUUGUAUUUUUUGUGUAGGUUUCUAAGUUUACGGAACUCAUCUUCUUUCUUUUUUGAUUACCUUCCGACGUUACAAAAAAGAAAUUAUGAGAUGGAAAGCCGAAGAGACAUACGAUAUGGAAAAGAAAUUAAUAAGACAGAAAUUAAUAAGACGGGAAGCCGAAGAGGUAGACGUUAUAGGGAAGGAAUUAAUGAAACGGAAAGCCGAAGAGACAGACGUUCAUAAGGUGAAAGCAAACAGUGAACGAAACUAUAGGGAAGGAAUUAAUAAAACGGAAAGCCGAAGAGACAGACGUUCAUAAGGUGAAAGCAAACAGUGAACGAAACACUGCCACGUGGCAUUUUUUAUGGGGAUUAAUGUAUAGAAAUAGAUGUUGCAUACAUUGUAGAACUUUGCUAGAUGACAUUGUUAUAGACAUAGUGGAACUCAUACUUGGUGACAUGUUUGGCAAAGGCAUAGCUACACAUUUGAAGCAUGAUAGAUAUAUAUGAGCAUAUUAGGCUUAUUGUUCUAUUCAUUACUUCUUUGUCAUAUUACCCUAUCUAUUGUUUCUAUGCCUUUCUUAGACCUAGUGGAAAAAUCGGCGGGGUCGGUGGCCGAACCCACUGGAAACUAUGGAUAAUAGUUCUCACACCCUAUUUUGCAAAGCCAAGCAUGAGCGCAUUCGUCGAGGACGCGACAUGGGCAUCGAGCCCUAGAUAGAGUGGACCACCAGCAUUAGCCCACUACCCCUAUGUAUAGCAAAAAAGGAAAUGUAUAACCCUUUGGAAAGGAAUGUAAUGAAAUGGUGUAUUGUGAUGUAAAAUCCUUUUGUGUAUAAAAGUGAAAUCAUGUUGUAUAAAUAAGAAGUAAAGUUGAAUGUAAAUGUGAUGUAAUAGUUAGCUUUAUUUCUCUCGCAUCUGUAUAUACCUCUUGCAAAUGUUUUGUUGCUAUUAUCUCCUGUUUGGAUAUAUGUAUGCACAGACUUUAUUUUACGCCUUGGGCAGACAGAGGAAACUCUGUCCGUUCAGUGGGUCUGUUUCGGGCCCGAACUGUCCAAAUUGGUGGUGUCGGGUCGUGACAUAAGGCCACCCUCAUUCAGUUCGCGGACGACACCUUCUUCUUCUGCGAGGCAAGAAGCAGGUACUUGAGAAAUCUCAGGUUCAUAUGGCAUCUUUUCGAAUGGGCUUCGGGAAUGAAAAUCAACAGGGAAAAGUCGGAGCUUUACUAUCUAGGACAGGAGGACGAAAAAAGAGUUAGAUUAGCAAGCAUUCUCGAGUGUAGAGAGAGCACUCUUCCGACUAAAUAUUUGGGAUUACCUCUCUCCCCCAGACCACCAUCCAAGGAGGCAUGGAGGGAGAUCAUUCAAAAAUUACAUCGCAAAAUAGGGGGCUGGCAAGCCAAACUCCUAUCUAAGCGGGGUAGACUUAUUUUGGUUAAUGCGGUACUAACCAACUUACCCCUAUAUUUCCUAUCCGUGUUCAAGGCCCCCUCAUGGGCGAUUAAGCACAUCGAAGCCCUAAGAAGAGACUUCUUCUGGAAUGGCGGGCACAACCUUCUUGGCAAGGGAUGCUUGGUGGCUUGGAAAAACGUUUGCAAGACCAAGAAGGAAGGCGGGUUAGGUAUUUUGGAUGUUGCUACCAUGAAUCAAGCUUUACUGACCAAAUGGUGGUAGAAAUUCCGCACAGCACCUGAAUUACAAUGGAAUAAGUUAGUCCGAGAAUUGUAUUAUUGUAGACGAAAACCACUGAGGAAAGGUUGAUCCUUCAAACCUUUCUCUAGCUGGUGGAAGGGUAUUCUUAGCCUCAACACCAUCUUUAAAUGGGGAGCGGCUUUUAAAUUAGGAAAUGGGAGUACCAUCUUUUUUUGGCUGGAUCGGUGGUGUGGGGAGAAAACGUUGAACCUAUUGUUUCCGGAAGCUUACCUUAUUUUCGAGGGGAAAAACUCUAGAGUUGGUGAAUGCUUUACGAGGGGUAAUUGGAACUGGACCAAGAUUCUGGCAGCCGACGUAGGCCAAAUGCAAAGGCCGAUACCGAGCCUCUCGGAACUCGUAGAAAGGAUCUCCUGCUUCACCGUCGAGCAUAAACCAAACAUGAUCUAAUGGCGUUGGAAUACUGAUGGACACUUCUCGAUCAAAUCGACCUAUUCGGCAUUGACGGACGACAGGAUGAGAGACGCUUGGGCCUCCAACAUCUGGAGUCUUAAAAUCCCUUUAAAAGUAAAAGUGUUUAGCUGGUUGGUUCUCAAGAAGAGAAUUCUUACAUGUGAUAAACUUGUUAAGAGAGGGUGGAUAGAUGACCCUACCUGCGUGCUUUGUGGGGCGGACGAGGAAACUAUGGACCAUCUGUUCACCCGAUGCGUAUUCUGCAAGUUUAUCAUAGUGACAGGGGUGGAUGAUAUUCAGGCCCAAGAUCUGGGGGACGAUGUGAACCUCGUAUGGGAUAGGUGGAUAGGCAGGAAGGAUCACCAAAAGAAGCGAAACAAACUUACAGACCUAGUAGGCUGCUGGUGGAUUAUUUGGAAGGUCAGAAAACAACACAAUCUUUCGGAAUAUCCUUCCGAACCCUGGGCUAGCGAUCAACAGACUCAAACUUCUUGUAAAGGAGUGGGACCUUCUUCUCGCAUCUUAACUAUGAAGGUGUUUUUUUUUUUUUUUGGCCUUCUUUUCUCUCGGGCCCUAGUUGCCCUACACUUGUAGCUUAAUUCAUCAGUCUAAUGAAUGAAGCGGGAAGCGUGCUACCUCUUUCUUUAAAAACGAAGUCAAAAUAUUAGCUUGCCACUUUUCCCUUUAAUGAAUUCUCCAAAAGUUUCAAAUCAAACAAUGUUGAAGUAACUCUUAAAUAGCACUACUAAUAAAAUUUAACUUGGAACGUCCUGCAAAAAUAUUAGUGCUCGCGCCCAGUAUAGUUGAUGCAGAGUAGAUAAAGAAAAUUGCGUUUCUUCUCGAAGUUUUGAUACCAAAUAACAAAAAAAUAUAUAUUUUAGAAUAUUUAAUCAAAUUUUAGCUUUGUUCAAAAAUUAUAUCUUAGGAUACUUAGUCAAAUUUUAGCUUUAAUAUCUCAUUACAGUUUUUGUUAGUUUUAAUUUUUAAAACAGUGAUUUAAAACUUGUUUUUGGCCCAUAGGCUUCCUGGACAGCCCAACUCUCUAUGGGCCUUGCCUGGGAGCUCAUACCUUACUUUCCACAUGUAGAGUUUAGUUCCACAUUGGAAAGUAAAGGCACUCUACUUCACUUUAUAUACUCUCUCACUCUCAAUUUAAUUACUUGAGAGAACAUGAGAAUGAGGCUCUCGACUAAACGCACGCACGGCACGAGCCAGGUCGGGCAGGCGGUGGCACGCAUGAAUCCGGUUCAUUUACACCUUUUUCCUUUUAUUUUAUUUUAUUUUAUUGAAUUUUAAUAUUAUUUAAUUGAUCCUAUGAUAGCCUUGCCUUGGGAAAGGACGAAGCACAAGAUCAAAUCUGGAUCUUGUUCAGAUUUGGUCCAACCUCGGGAAGGAGCCAGAUCUUGAUCAAAGAUCCUCCCUUGGACCAUUCAAAUCCUCUCCUAUAUAUAGAGGUGAAGGUGAAGGCGCACACAUACAUACGAGAAGACUUAACCUGAGCUUGCACCUUAAUAGUCUCUUCUUUCACAUUGAUUUCUACAUUGAACUUUAUAUUUCCAUUUUUGUUGGAUCUCUGAAAGCUCAUACGGCUCGUGUUACGCCACCCUAAAGACGUGCCGACGGGGUGGACAAUGAUUGUUGUAUCGCUAGGACUGAUUGCCGGAGCCUCGCACCUAGAGGGGCACACUACAACAAAAACGGUCUAUAGCGACACUUUUAAAUGUCGGUAUAGGUCAAAAAAGUGCUGCUGGCUAAAUUUACCGACACUUUUGAAAAGUGUUGCUAUAUGUGAAGCCGCUUGAUAUAUAGUGACAGUUAAAGAGUGUUGCUAUAAUCUAAAAGAGUGCUGCUAAUUUACCAACAUUUAUUUAAGUAUCUGGCAACCGCCGGAACUCUACCUCGUUGGCUGCGGUGGCGGAGGAGGACGAGAGGAAAUGAUCUUCGUCUAGGAUUUCAGUCGAUUGAGUGAGGGGAGAAGGAAAAAUGAUAAUCGAUUUUUUUUUCUUUUUCUUUUCUUUUUCUUUUCUGUUUGUAAUCGGGCCGAAUGGGCUAAGUGGAGUGGGUUGAGUAGAGUACCCUUUUAUUUUUAGUUGGAUUGGACUUUAUAUUUAGGCAUUAGUAGGAUUUUUUUAAGUUUUGGUAUAAAUGUGACACUUAUACAAAAGUGUCCCAAACAUGUGUCGCUAUAACCUAAUUAUGUUGUAGUGGCAAUCUCGCUCCUAGGACAAUGCUUUCGCACGCCUCGACCCACAUGCCUCAUCUGAUCUCUUAAUCUUUAUACAAUUAACUAUUUAAUUUUUGCUUAAGGUUUUUAAAAACUAAAGUUAAAUUAUUUUCAUUCAAAAUUGUUUAAAAAGAUAUUUUACUAAAGAUUUUAGAAAGAGAAUAAUUUUUCCA
This 73000-nucleotide long non-coding RNA is filed under the name Ananas comosus (pineapple). RNAcentral's name for it is "long non-coding RNA (ACOM_LNC015174)". The record is from RNAcentral. Lineage: Eukaryota; Viridiplantae; Streptophyta; Magnoliopsida; Poales; Bromeliaceae.